AACUAACUCUCUUCUUGCCAGGCGGAGCAAUUUUCUCUUAAAGACGAUGAAUGAUUCACCGCCUUCCUAAUUUCUCACAAAACCGGUGAAUCAUUCACCGUCUUUCACUUAUUUACUGUUUCUUCCUACAUCCUAUAUAUAAUCGUAACAACCACAUAAAUAUUUCAACAAAUCACAUAUAAUCUUAACAACCUGAAAAUUCUAAUAAUCUAUCCAUACAAUCCUAACAAUCAAAAAAAUUCUAAUAAUCUAUCCAUACAAUCCUAAUAAUCAAAAUUACAUAUAAUCUUAACAACUUGAAAAUUCUAAUAAUCUAUUUAUACAAUCCUAACAAUCAAUAAAAUCCUAAUAAUCUAUUCAUACAAUCCUAACAAUCAAACAAAAAUUCUAAUAUUUCACACACAAUCCUAACAACCUCACUUUUUUUAUUUCUCGUAUAAUCUACGCACAAUUUUAACAACCUUAUUUUUUUUUCUCUUUCCCAAAAAAUUAUGAAGAAGACGGUGAAUUGUUCACCGUUUUAAUGAAUGCGGUGAAUGAUUCUCCGCCUUUAAAAGACCUUAGAGACUUUCAGAAUGCGGUGAAUGAUUCACCGCGUUUCGAGGAUUAGUUUGCCAAAUAUAAAUUUGAUAGGAUUAUUUCACAAAUUAUAAAAUUUUAGAUGGUUAUUGGCCAAUUUGCAUAAAAAAUCCACUAGUUUUGCACUUUUGCAAAAGUGGGCCGCCUUUUUCGAUUUUGCAGAUUCGGGCCGGAAUUUCAGCCGCCUGACCAAAAUGCCCCUCGUGUACAUCCGCCUCUUUUGUAUUCGGUGAGAUACGUAUACUAUAACGUACGGUCCUGGCGGGCAUUAAAUGUGCCUCUUGCGCUUUACGCAACCUCGCUCUCAUCGGAACCCAUACCAAAUCAGCCUCGCUAUUCGCCAGCCCCGGUGUUUGCUAUUCGGCUUUAACAAUUUAAAUAUGCCGAAGCUACAAGACGAAAACUACACCCUCGGUAAUAGCAAUAAUAGUGCAACGCGAAGGAGCAAAGCAAAGAGAAAUGGUGUAACAACCCUUCUAACAGUGCAUCUUUCGGCUGGUACCAGUGCAAUAUCCACCGCUCAGAUGUGCAACACUGGCAUUCAACCUUCUCUCUCACCAGAGCAACCUUCCACUCCCCCUUAAGGAAGGCAGUCUUGUACCUAAACCGCAAGAAGCGUAGAGGCGUAUAAUCCAGCACUCUCCCUCCUCCAUAGAAGCUUGGCAGUUUAUUCUAUCACUGUCUGCCGACUGCUGCGCUUGCAGAGGAGAAGUGGAAGAAGCGUCGGGGAGGAACAUGGCUUAAGAGUAUAGUUACGAACUGGAGAAGAGAUGAGGCAGGAGGGAGGAGGGGAACAAGGCGGUCACCAGCAAACCGCUACCAAAAGGCCCAGCAAGUAGCGCAACAACAGUGCAAGCAUGUACAAAAAGAGUGCAAAUUGUUAUUUGUAACUGGCGCUGCCGCCCAGUAGUAGUGCAAAAAAAGGAACGAAAUGGUGUAAUAUUCACCCAAUUAGUGCAAUUCUUAAUAAAAAAUAUGCCUCGCCCCAAACCCGAGGCGUAACAGACGCCGCAUACAUGCUAAACUAGCAAAUAUGCAAGGCUACGAAAUCAGACGGAAACUAGCGAAAAGAUGAUUACUAAUUUUCCACUAAAUUCAGAUAAUCAUAAGGUGAGACUAAGAAAUUAAAUUUUAACUAAAAUUAAAUGGAAUUCUAACAUCUAUAAAACUAAAGCUUACUACGAAACAUAAUAAAUUCGGUCCACUAAAUACCAUAAUUAACAAAGGUAGGUACGAAUAAAUAACGAAAUAAAAGCAGAUAACAAACGAUCAUUUACGAAGUCCAAAAAGAAAUAUUCACAUCUAAAUAUGCUAGGCAUAAAACAAAAAGGACUAAAAUCAAACUCUAGCUAUAUCUAACGCUCACUCGGUCCCGACCCCGCCUUGCGAAUCAGUCUGGAAACCUGGGUAAGCAACCAUACACCACAUUAGUCGGAUUAAGCAUACAAAUAAAUAAAUAAAUACAAAAAUAAUUCAAGAGACUUGUUUUUAAUUUGCAAAAUUUCAGAAAAUAAGAAUUAUAAAACUUAAAAUUCAGAUCAGAUUGAAACUAUAACUUUACAAAGCAUUUCUCUUUAAGCAAAUAACGAAAUAAAUAUUAAGUCUCCGGCAACUAACUAUAUCACAUGAUCCGUUGGCGAGAUCCAGAGGCACCCGAAGGCACAAACAGAACAGAGGCACCCGAAGGCGCAAACAGAACAGAGGCACUCGAAGGCGCAACCAAAACAGAGGCACCCGUAGGCGCAAACAAAACAGAAGCGUGAAUAGGCGCGGGCACCCAAAGGCGCGAUGCAAAGACGAAACUCGCUUCUAUAACAAAUUACAUGUCGACAUGGCCAACAUUGCAUAGCAGAAUACCAAGAGACAUCACAAUUCAAAAUUUAUCCAGUCACUAAUUUAUAGAACAAAUUAUCAAAUUUUAAAAAUUAUUUUUGCUAAAAGAACUUGUCAAUCACACUUGAAGCUCAAUUUACAAAAUAUUUAAUAAUAUGCUUAACCCUUAAUUUUAAAAUCUACAAAAUAAGAUUUUCACACAAUCAAAGUAUUUUCCUAAAUUAUUUAGCAAAAAGCUAACGGGUGUCCGGUCGCUUACCUCAAAAGCGGCUUCUAAGCUAAGAAGCUAUCCAGUCGAAAAUUGCACGAAAAUCAAUCGUCGGAACCUAAAAUAGAGAUAUGCGAUUCUCUAUAAGCUAACUAAAAAAUAAAAUUACAAAAAGGAUAUAUAUACAUUUAGAAGGCAAGCUUACACAAAAAUCUGAAUUCGGAUAGGUUCACAUAGGUCGACAAUGUCGGCUACCAAUGCAUGCAAAAAGGUCAAGACGGAGCACGAAAGAGAUUUAGAAUAAUACAUUCAACGAAACUCAAUUAGCAAUCAAGAGGAUGAUGAGUUUUAAGGAUUAGAAUAUUCAAAGAAGCAAGAUAAGAUGAAUGAAGUUUUAAAUAAUAAACAAAGGAUCUAAUGCUCGAAAAGAGGGUUUUCAGAUGUUGAAACAUUGAUUUGCAAAUCAAUAAUUAGAUAGAAUCAAAAUUGGAAACAAAACAAUAUAUGCCUUCUUUUUGGCAUUUUGUCGAACAUGUAAUGGACUCUCAAUAACUAUGUAGAAUAUGCAUAAUUUAUAUACCUAGAUUACAUAGAGAAUACAUGGUAAAAAAAUUUAAUAAUACGAUCAAUCUAUAUUUAGGUAUAUAGCAAUCAGAUUUGAACGAUCUUAGAAAUAAUCAUCAAAGAAGAACACCUAACAACAAUCACAUAUUUAUCGAUAAAAUUUAGAUGCUUUCAAGAAUGGGUGUAGAGACGAAAAUGAAAGGAAUAAACCUUCUUAAAGAUAGAAACGACGACGAUGAAAUGUCGUCGACGGCGAAUCAAAAAUGCCGAUGGAUGAGGAUUGCGGUGGUGGCCGCGAAUGACGGCGACGACGACAGUGACCGGAACGACGGCGCGGGUACGGGAGAGGGAAGAGGCUGUACGGACGUGAGGAGAAUAGAGUCGCUAAGAGAGAGAAAGACGGAGAAGAGAGGUGGGUGGGUGGCUGUUACGAAUAGGAAACAACAUGAAUUAGGGAUUAGGGUUAAUUUAGCACAAUAUGCCGCCGAGUCCCUCAAAAACUAGUAUUUACGAAAAGGUCCGAAUUUUAAAAGAAUAGGAGUCAAAAUAAAGGAAACAUAAGUGUGGGGUGUUACAUCCUCCCCUCCUAAAAAGAAGUUUAGUCCUCUAAACUUAACAUAUCUUAGCUCUCGAAGGACUAAGGAUACAUCAUUCUCGUCUGCUCUUCGAGCUCCUAAGUAGCUUCCCGUUCAGAAAGAUUGCUCUACUAGACUACUAGAAUAAAUCUAAAUAUUGUAUACUCAGACAAUGCUUUUACAAAUGCGGUCAAUCACAAGCUCAUCCCCGAAAGGCGCCCGACGCAUAAAAUAUAAACAAAGGGUUCGGAGGUUGACAAAUGAUUUCAAACAAAAGCAAAAGAGAUAAAGAAAUAAGUAGUUCUAGAAUCAAAGAGAACACGAGAAGAAAUAGAAGCUAUGGGAAGAAUACCAGGGACUACAGCAUUAGAUGCCCGGACAUCCUGCUGGGAGAGAGCCUGAACAUGACCUUGCGUCCGAGGUCUUCCACCUCUGGACUGAUCGAUAGGAGGGGCAUGUAUUGGAUUUUAUUGGGUUUGUUAUGAUUUAAAACUUGUUAAGGCCUCUUGAGAGCCAAAUAAUUGUUAAUCGGCGCUUGGGGAGCCCAACUAAAAUUUUCAUGUGUUAUGUUUAGUCCCACAUUGGAAACUAAAAGGGUGUUUGUUGUUUUUAUAUAUUCCCUUGUACUCAAGCUAGUUGCUUGGAAGAAAAUGAGAGUAAUGCUCUCGUUUAAAUACACACACGCACGGCACGAGCCGAGCCGGGCGGGGCGGGGCGGCGGCGCUCGCGGUCCAUACACCUGGUUUAUUUUUAUUUUGUCGGUUUUAUCUUUAUUUUAAUCCUUAUCUUUAUCUUUAUUCUAAUCCUAAUCCUUAUCCGUAUAAUCACAGGCUUAUCUUGUUCUACUCGGAUUUGACGCGUUGGAGCAAGAUUAUCGCCUUGAUUAUAAAUAUGGGGCGAGGUUGCACGAGUUGAUUAAUAACCCGAGCAUACCUAAAGCCUCUCGUCUUUUUCUACUUUCCGGAUUUUCGCCGAGUUUUCUUUUACUCGAUCUGAAGCUGGUUGGGUUCAUCUUGCACCACCUUGGAAACGUGCCAACGGGGUGGAACGUGGUCGUUGUAUCGCUAGAAGUAAUUGCUGGGAAGCCUCGCACGUGGAGGGGCAAUUUCGCUUCUAGGACAAUGCUCUGCAUGCCUCGAUCCAUAGGCCUUAUCUAAACCUUUUCUUUACCGUAUUUGUUAUUUAAUUUCGUUUCGGAAUUUUCCUAAACUUGUAAUUAAAUUUUCGAGUUGGUUUUUAAAGAAUAUUGUAAUAAAAGAUCAGAAAGAUAUUUUCCAACAAUCUAGAAGCGAAAGUUUUUAAUUAACUUAGUCUUUCUGUUUCUUUUAUUAUAGUAAUUAAAAUAUUUCUUUUCUACAAAUUAACAUAUAUCUUACUGUUACUUUUCUGAAAUUCAAAACUGUUUUUUGACAUAACAGUAGAAUUAAUUUGUGAACAGAUUUUGUUUUAUUAUGGAGGAUUCGACAAAACCGUUUACUUUUGAUGGUCAUAAUUUUAAGAGGUGGCAGAACCAAAUAAGGUUCUGGCUGACCACACUUGGGCUUGUUUUUGCUAUCUCGGAUUCUGCUGUGAAUGCCAGUGGAUCUGCACCUGUAGGUGCAACCCAGAAUGUGAUUAAUAGACCGCUUACUCGAAGCCAAGCCCAGACUGGAUCCACUCCUCCCACUUCUGAAACUGCAACUACAUCUGCAACUACAACCGCACCUCCCGUUGACCAUAACAUGAUCAAUUAUCAUUAUUUAAACCGAAUUCUUAGUACCCUAUCUGACAAAUUAUACGACAUCUACUGUAGUGCUAAGACAGCUAGGGAACUUUGGACAUCCUUAGAAAAUAAGUAUGGUCAAGUUGAUCUUACUCAGAAGAGAUACCAAGCGUCUGAUCUAAUUAAAUUUAAAUUGGUAGAUANGAACUUUGGACAUCCUUAGAAAAUAAGUAUGGUCAAGUUGAUCUUACUCAGAAGAGAUACCAAGCGUCUGAUCUAAUUAAAUUUAAAUUGGUAGAUAAUAAGUCCAUGUCUGACCAGCUUCAUGAUUUUGAGCAUAUAGUUGAGCAGCUUAGAUUUAGUAGUGUAGAUCUUGAUGAAAGUUUUUUAGUUGCCGCCCUUAUAGAUAAGUUGCCACCCUCUUGAUCGAACCAUGCAAAUGAUCUUAACCACAAUCAGAGAGAGCUAUCCCUGAAUUAUGUCCUAAGAUCCAUUAGGAUAGAAGAGUCGAACCGGGCUAAGGAUAAGAAGCCCAAUGAACCUACAAUCCAAGCCAACCUAGUAGAGAAUCCCAAAAAUAAUGGUAGAAACUUCCAGCCUCACCGAAACUUUAAGAAGAAGCCUUUCCACCGUAGAAAGUUCAACCCAAACUUUAAGAAACCUAAACCUGAGGAAAGUGGAGGCAAUUCUGGUUGUUUUGUGUGUAGGAAGAUGAAUCAUUUUGCGAAGGAUUGCUAUUUCCGCAAAAAUUGACCUUUCGUACCUAAGAAAAAGAAGGAAGCUCUACCUGAGCGCCAGUUGAAUAUGUUGACUGCAGCGUCUGACCCUUCUGACUCCACUAUCAGGUUAGGAUCUAGUUCACCCAAUGUUAACCUGCCCUAUAGUUCUUCUGAUUGGUGGAUAGAUACUGGAGCUAAUGUUCAUGCUCAUUCUGAUCGUUCGUGGUUUUCCACAUAUCAGGACUCGUGUGGAGAAUCGGUGAAUAUUGGGAAUGCAGCCUCUUCUCACGUGCUAGGGACAGGUCGAGUGGACUUGAAGCUGACCUCUGGGAAGACCUUAACCUUGCACGGAGUCCACCAUGUUCCCGACUUUAGGAAGAAUUUGAUUAGUGGUUCUCUUUUAGUUCAACAGGGUUUUAAGUUAGUUUUUGAAUGUAAUAGGGUAGUUAUAACAAAAGGAGUGAAUUUUAUUGAAAAAGGAUUUUUGAGUGAUGGUUUAUUUAAAUUAUCUGUAUCUUCUCCUUUUAUUAAUGAAAGUGCUCUUGUGAUGAAUGUUAUUUCUCCUAAUAUUUGGCAUGGAAGAUUGGGACAUAUGAAUUUUAAUACUAUCAAAAGAUUGAUGCAUCUCGAUUUGAUUCCUAAAUCUGAUUUAUCUGAUCAUAGAUGUGAAAUAUGUGUGCAAGCUAAGGAGCCUAGGAAACCUUUUAAAUCUGUGGAUAGAGAUUGCAAUCUAUUAGAAUUGAUGCACAGUGAUGUUUGUGAUGGAAGUAGACCUAGUAGAGGUGGAAAUAAAUAUUUUGUGACAUUUAUAGAUGAUCAUUCAAAAUAUUGUUAUGUUUAUUUGAUCAAAUCAAAAGGUGGGAUUUUAAACAUAUUCAAGAUUUAUAAGGCUGGAGUUGAAAAUCAAUUAGAUAAGAAAAUCAAGAUUUUGAGGUCUGAUUGAGGUGGUGAAUUUACUUCAAAUGAGAUGACUGCUUUCUGUCAAGAGUUUGGAAUUGUGCAUCAAGUGACUGCUCCUUAUACAUCUCAAUCUAAUGGAGUUGCUGAACGUAAGAAUAGAACUUUGAUGGAUAUGGUAAAUUCGAUGAUUAUUAGUUUAGGCGCACCCGAGAACUUGUGGGGGGAAGCUUUGAUUUCUGCAUGUGUGAUUUUAAAUAGAAUUUCCCACAAGAAUUCUAAUGUGUCUCCCUAUGAGCUUUGGAAAGGUAAAAAACUUAAUCUGAAUUAUUUUAAAGUGUGGGGGUGCCUAGCUAAAGUGAAAAUACCUGAGAAUAAGAAGAGAAAGAUUGGACCUAAGACCGUGGAUACAGUUUUUGUGGGUUAUGCACAAUAUAGCAAUGCAAAUAGAUUUUUAGUGGUGAAUUCUGAAAUUAGUGAGAUUUCUAACAACACUAUUAUUGAGGCUAGAGAUGCAGUAUACUUUGAGGAUGCUUUUCCUUUUAGAACUAGAGUAGAUAGACCUAUUUCAGCUGAGCCUAUAGGUAAAGAUGUCCGUGGACCGGGUCGGGUCUGGAUAAUUAAUAUACUGUACCCAUACCCUAAAAAGAAAUGGUUAUAAAAAAAUAUAUAUACCCUACCCAUUUAACUUCGGGUCGGGUCUGGAUCUCGGUACUAAAGUUACUAAUAUACCCAUCGGGUCUAUUUGAGCGGGUCUGGGUAGUGACUACCCGUAUACUACCCGUUCAAGAUCGGAUAUGGAUCGGGUUUAGAUCGGGUACGGAUAUCCGUAUUAAUAUAUUUUUUUUAUAAACUUUAUUAAAUAGUCAAUAGACAAACUAUAAAGCCCACCAUAAAAAAACUUGCAUUCUAAUAAAUUGUACCGUCCAAUAAAAUUCAUUCAAAAGAAAUAUUGUCGCUGAUGAUGAUGAUGACACUGAUGAUGAUGAUGACAAUGAAAUAUUGUUGGCGGAAAUGAAAUGAAAAAAAAGGAGUAGAAAACAAAGAGUAAAAAAAUUAGAAAAAAGUAAUGAGUAAAAGAGACGGCUAGGGUUUCAUUAGGAUGAAAAUACGUAGUGACUCAUCAUCUAUAAAUCAUAUUAAAAUUGAUCCUUCAACUUCAAAAGUUUAUUUUUUUUUAUUUACUAUCGGAUAUUUCAUCGGGUCCGGGUCCGGGUCCGGAUUUGAAAACUAUUCCGGACCCUACCCCUUUAAAAGUUAGGUUCGGGUCGGGUCCAAAUCGGGUAUGGGUAUAAAAUAUCCGGACCCAUACCCGAAACUUUAAUGGGUAAUUUUUUUUAUCCGUAUACUAUUCAUUUUUUAUCGGGUCCGGUUCGGAUCCGGUUCGGGUCCGGAUAGGGUCCGGAUCGGGUAUGGGAUAUCGGAUAUUUUGGACACCUUUACCUAUAGGUAGUUUUAGCAGACCUAGAAUUAGUGAACCUAUAGAAGAGACUGAACCUAGGAGAAGUAAGCGUCCUAGAGUAGCGAAAAAUUUUGGAGAUAAUUUUUGUGUCCUACUAGUAGAAGAUACUCCAUCUACCUAUGACAAAGCUAUGACGUCUGUAGAUGAAUCGUUUUGGAAAGAGGCUAUUAAUCUGGAGAUGCAAUCUAUUCUACAGAAUCAUACUUGGGAGUUAACUGAUUUACCUUUAGGAUGUAAGCUUGUAGGUUGUAGGUGGAUUUUUAAGAAGAAGUUGAGACCCCAUGGAUCUAUAGAUAAGUAUAAGGCUAGAUUAGUGGCACAAGAAUUUGCACAGAAGUCUGGGGUAGAUUAUUUUGAUGUUUAUGCUCCUGUUGCUAGGAUUACUUCUAUUAGAGUGUUGAUUGCCUUGGCCUCCAUCCAUGGUGUGGUUGUUCAUCAAAUGGAUGUUAAGACAGUUUUCUGAAUGGUGAUUUGGAUGAAGAAAUUUAUAUGAAGCAACCUAAAGGUUUUAUAGUUUCUGGACAUGUGAAUAAAUUGUGCAAGUUGAAUCGAUCUUUAUAUGGACUUAAGCAAGCUCAUAAGCAGUGGCAUUUGAAAUUUGAUUCUUUGGUUAUAUCAAAUGGUUUUCAUGUGAACAUGUUUGAUGAAUGCGUGUAUUCGAAAGAGUAUGAUGGACAGAUAGUGAUCUUAUGCUUAUAUGUUGAUGAUAUCUUGAUUUUUGGUACUAAUAUGAAUGUGAUAUAUGAUGUGAAGAAAUUAUUAAAUGAAAAUUUUGAUAUGAAAGAUCUUGGGCAAGCAUAUGUUAUUCUCAACAUGAAGAUCAUUAGAAAAUCGAAAGAAAUUAUUAUGAGCCAAUCCCACUACAGUGAACAGUUAUUGAAAAAGUUUGGAUACUUUGAUGUUAAACCUGUAGUGACACCUUAUGAUUCUAGUGUGCAUCUUCAAAAGAAUAGAGGAGAUCCAAUAGGUCAAAAUAGAUACUCAAAGAUUAUUGGAUCUUUAAGAUAUCUGGUAGAUUACACUAGACCAGAUUUGGCUUAUGCUGUGAACCGAUUGAGAAGAUAUACUCAUAAUCCAAAUAGAGAGCAUUGGAAUGCCUUAGAAAGAGUUUUGAGAUAUCUGGAGGGGACUGUAUCUUAUGGAUUACAUUACACUAGCUUUCCUGCAGUAUUUGAAGGAUAUAGUGAUGCUAAUUGGAUUAGUGAUACUGUUGAUAUAAAGUUGACUACUGGAUUUGUUUUUCUUCUAGGAGGAGCAGUUAUUUCUUGGAAAUCAACUAAACAAUCUUUGAUUGCUAGAAGUACUACGGAAUCUGAACUCAUAACCUUGGAUAUAACUGUAGCAGAAGCUAAGUGGAUUAGAGAGUUUCUUUAUGAUUUACCACUUAUGGAGCAACCUUUAGCACCUAUAUGUAUUCAUUGUGAUUGCAAAUUUGCUAUAGAUAAGUGUGCCCAAGAGAAUGUGGAGACGAAGAUGAAUAGAUUCAUGAAAGUAAGACAUAAGUUCAUUCGGCAAAAUUUGAAGGAAAAUGUGAUUGGAUUGGAAUUUGUGAAAUCUACAAAGAAUUUGGCUGAUCAGCUUACGAAGGGAUUAUCUAGGACAGUGAUCCUAGAAUCGUUGAGGGGGAUGGGGCUUAGCCCACAAUAGAAGUUACCGGCGAUGGCAACCCAACCUGUUGCAGGUUCAAUGGGUAGAAACAAGUCGAACAGGCAGCUAUGAGGAGCACUGUUUUUAUACCUCAUCCCUAUGACGAUAGUGCUCAUAUCUGCAAGUGGAUAGGAAGGGCAUUGGCUCUGAAUGGCUCCAAGACCUAUAAGGCAGGGUGUGACUUUGCAGAUACCCUUUGAGGACCUACUAUAUGUGUGGAGUCAUGAGGCCGCGACUAUGGGAAGAGGGUGGUUCCCUAAAACACACACGAAGCGAUACUAGCGCAUGGCCAUAAAAGCGCUCACCCGUUUAGAACCUAAACAGCUGUACCAUGUGUGCUAUUCGUGGAAAUCUGAUUCACCGGUCUUGGUUCAAGGCGUAGUCCACCAUUGUGCCCUCGGAUGUACAUUGACAAGCACUAAGUGAAGGUUCAAACCCGAAAGGUACCUUUACCGAAUACAUGGUAUAAAAGAUCCAGCAUUCUUUUGAUUUAUUUUGAAUUUCAGUUUAUUUGCUUUCUUUAUUUCAAGUUUUAAAUCAUGUGGGGGAAUAUUGGAUUUUAUUGGGUUUGUUAUGAUUUAAAACUUGUUAAGGCCUCUUGAGAGCCCAAUAAUUGUUAAUGGACCGCUUGGGGAGCCCAACUAAAAUUUGCAUGAGUGGUCCCACAUUAGAAACCAAAAGGGUGUUUGUUGUUUUUAUAUAUUCCUUUGUACUCAAGCUAGUUGUUUGGAAAAAAAUGAGAGUAAUGCUCUCGUUUAAAUACACACACGCAUGGCACGAGCACGAGCUGAGCCGAGCCGGGCCGGGCCGGGCCGGAAGGUGGCGCGCGCAGUCCAUACACUCGGUUUAUUUUUAUUUUGUCGGUUUUAUCUUUAUUUUAAUCCUUAUCUUUAUCUUUAUCCUAAUCCUAAUCCUUAUCCGUAUAAUCAUAGGCUUAUCUUGUUCUACUCGGAUUUGACGCGUUGAAGCAAGAUUCUCGCCUUGAUUAUAAAUAUGGGGCGAGGUUGCACGAGUUGAUUAAUAACCCGAACAUACCUAAAGUCUCUUGUCUUUUUCUGCUUUCUGGAUUUUCGCCGAGUUUUCUUUUACUGGAUCUGAAGCUGGUUGGGUUUAUCUUGUGCCACCUUGGAAGCGUGCCGACGGAGUGGAACGUGGUCGUUGUAUCGCUAGAAGUAAUUGCUGGGAAGCCUCGCACGUGGAGGGGCAAUUUCACUUCUAGGACAAUGCUUUGCACGCCUCGAUCCACAGGUCUUAUCUAAAUCUUUUCUUUACCGUAUUUGUUAUUUAAUUUCGUUUCGGGAUUUUUCUAAACCUGUAAUUAAAUUUUCAAAUUGGUUUUUAAAGAAUAUUGUAAUAAAAGAUCAGAAAGUUUUUCCAACAGCAUGAUCACGACCGGUUGGAGCAAUAGAUUUCUCCUGAGUCUUGGAUCCAGUGCCAGAGUCAGUGCUAAACACAGGGCAUUGAGCUAUUCGAUGGUUCAAAUCUCUACAACUGAAACAACCACCAGUGACGUGCCAGCAGUCCGAAUCCUUAUGCCAUCUACCACAAACUGAACAUUUCAGCUUCUGAUCUCGAUUUGGUGGUUCACCACGAGGAGCUGGUGUAUUACGCGACCUCCCCGAGUCAUUAGAUCUGUCAGAUUCUCUUGAAUUUCGAUCUCCUUCUCUGAAAGAAUCUCUAUUCCUUUUCUUUUGAUUUGCCUUUCGCUCUUCUUGAGUCUGCCUCCAUACUAAAUCCAAAGAUUUCGCUCUGGAAACGACAUCAUCAUAUGCCUCAAGGUGUAGCGGUGCGAGACCAGUGCGAAUAUGUCCAUUCAAUCAUUCCUCAAAUGUCUUAGCUCGUGACUCAUCAUCAUUUACCAGUUUUGGGGUGAAGUGGGACAGUCGGUCAAACCCAGCCUCGUACUUCUCCACAAACAUCGAACCCUACUUCAAAUCCAGAAAUUGUCUUUCAAGCUGGCGAAGCUUGCUCCUUGGAAAGUACUUUGCAUAAUCGAAAAUCCUUCCAUGAAAGGGCUGCUAAAUUAUUGCCGAGAGUUCUCAACUAGCUUUUCCACCAAUUAUUUGCUCUGCCUUGAAACAUGAACGUCCCGAAUCUGACUUUCUCCUCAUCUGUGCACUACAUGGCCGAAAAUGCCUUCUCCAUCUCUUUGAUCCAAGUUUCUGCUUCAUCCAGAUUUGUAGUGCCUGAAAAAGGUGGCGGUGCAGAUUUCUUAAACUCAUUGAUGCUCCUCUCUCGAACUCUGGAAUUCGACUCAGCGGCACUAGGAACGGGAUUCUGCUGCAAAUUCUGUUGCUGAGUCUGCACUAGUCCGACAACAGUUUGUAUCAGGGUGGCAACCAGGGGAUCCAUUGUGGUGCUCUGCGGUAAAGUGGCGGAGUGGGUGGGAAUAGUGGUUUGUGACGGAUGCGGAACGAAAUCGGGAAGUGUAGUCGACGGCGCAAAUGGAAUGGUAGUGGGAACAGUUGUCGAAGGCAUCCCUACACCAGUAGCCUGCUGCGGAGGUGGAGCAAAAGCCGAAGGAUUUAUCUGAGGUGCUGUCGUCGAUUGUAGCGGAUUCUGGAUAGUAGGUGGAACAGUGGUCUGAGGUGGAACAGCUGCCGAGGAUGUGGUAUGCAAAAGUGAGACUAAGGUGGUGUUCAGAUUUGCAUCUCCGGAUCUAGUUGGAGGUGGGUUCCUCGGUUGCUCAUUGUUGGUGUUGCUACGGCGGGACGGACGCACCAUCUUAUUAAAAGAGGGAUCACAAACACAUAAAUACAGGAUGUUAAUCAAAACUACAAAGUAGUAGCAAAACAAAUUCAAAUAUACGCUUACUUCUACCCAACCUCACACGUCCUAAUAAGCUCUCACAAUCUUAUACCUUAAAAGUUCCUAGAGAUCUUAAACCUAUUCUCUGAUACCAUUUCUCUGUCACGACCCAAACUCGAGGCGUAAUUAGACGCCACAUACCUGCUAAACUAGCAAAUAUGCAAGGCUACAGAAUCAGACGAAAACUAGCAAAAAGAUGAUUACCAAUUUUCCACUAAAUUCAGAUAAUCAUAAGGUGAGACUAAGAAAUUAAAUUUUAACUAAAAUUAAACAGAAUUCUAACAUCUAUAAAACUAAAGCUUACUACGAAACACCAUAAAUUCGGUCCACUAAAUACCAUAAUUAACAAAGGUGGGUAUGAAUAAAUAACGAAAUAAAAGCAGAUAACAAACGAUCAUUUACGAAGUCCAAAAAAAAAAAAUUCACAUCUAAAUAUGCUAGGCAUAAAACAAAAAUGACUAAAAUCAAACUCUAGCUAUAUCUAACGCUUACUCGGUCCCGACCCCGCCUUGCGAAUCAGUCUGGAAACCUGGGUAAGCAACCAUACACCACAUUAGUCGGAUUAAGCAUACAAAUAAAUAAAUAAAUACAAAAAUAAUUCAAGAGACUUGUUUUUAAUUUGCAAAAUUUCAGAAAAUAAGAAUUAUAAAACUUUAAAUUCAGAUCAGAUUGAAACUAUAACUUUACAAAGCAUUUCUCUUUAAGUAAAUAACGAAAUAAAUAUUAAGUCUCCGGCAACUAACUAUAUCACAUGAUACGUUGGCGAGAUCCAAAGGUACCCGAAGGCGAAAACAGAAUAGAGGCACCCGAAGGCGCAAACAGAAUAGAGGCACCCGAAGGCGCAACCAAAACAGAGGCACCCGUAGGCGCAAACAAAACAGAGGCGCGAAUAGGCGUGGGCACCCGAAGGCGUGAUACAAAGACGAAGCUCACUUCUAUAACAAAAUACAUGUCGACAUGGCCAACAUUGCAUAGCAGAAUACCAAGAGACAUCAUAAUUCAAAAUUUAUCCAGUCACUAAUUUAUAGAACAAAUUAUCAAAUUUUAAAAUUCUUUUUGCUAAAAGAACUUGUCAAUCACACUUGAAUCUCAAUUUACAAAAUAUUUAAUAAUAUGCUUAACCCUUAAUUUUAAAAUCUACAAAAUAAGAUUUUCACACAAUCAAAGUAUUUUCCUAAAUUAUUUAGCAAAAAGCUAACGGGUGUCCGGUCGUUUAACUCAAAAGCGGCUUCAAAGCUAAGAAGCUAUCCAGUCGAAAAUUGCACGAAAAUCAAUCGUCAGAACCUAAAAUAGAGAUAUGCGAUUCUCUAUAAGCUAACUAAAAAAUAAAAUUACAAAAAGGAUAUAUAUACAUUUACAAGGCAAGCUUACACAAAAAUCUAAAUUUGGAUAGGUUCACUUAGGUCGACAAUGUCGGCUACCAAUGCAUGCAAAAGGUCAAGACGGAGCACGAAAGAGAGUUAGAAUAAUACAUUCGACGAAACUCAAUUAGCAAUCAAGAGAAUGAUGAGUUUUAAGGAUUAAAAUAUUCAAAGAAGCAAGAUAAGAUGAAUGAAGUUUUAAAUAAUAAACAAAGGAUCUAAUGCUCGAAAAGAGGGUUUUCAGAUGUUGAAACAUUGAUUUGCAAAUCAAUAAUUAGAUAGAAUCAAAAUUGGAAACAAAACAAUAUAUGCCUUCUUUUAGGCAUUUUGUCGAACAUGUAACUGACUUUCAAUAACUAUGUAGAAUAUGCAAAAUUUAUAUACCUAGAUCACAUAGAGAAUACAUGGUAAAAAAAUUUUAAUAAUAUGAUCAAUCUAUAUUUAUGUAUAUAGCAAUCAGAUUUGAACGAUCUUAGAAAUAAUCAUCAAAGAAGAACACCUAACAACAAUCACAUAAUUAUCAAUAAAAUUUAGAUGCUUUCAAGAAUGGGUGUAGAGACGAAAAUGAAAGGAAUAAACCUUCUUAAAGAUAGAAACGACGACGAUGAAAUGUUGUCGACGACGAAUCAAAAAUGCCGAUGGAUGAGGAUUGCGGCGGUGGCCGCGGACGAUGGCGAUGACGAUGGUGCCCGGAACGACGGCGCACGCGGGUAUGGGAGAGGGAAGAGGCUGUACGGACAUGAGGAGAAUAGAGUUGCUAAGAGAGAGAAAGACGAAGAAAGAGAGGUGGGUGGGUGGCUGUUACGAAUAGGGAACAGCAUGAAUUAGGGAUUAGGGUUAAUUUAGCACAAUAUGCCGCCGAGUCCCUCAAAAACUAGUAUUUACGAAAAGAUCCGAAUUUUAAAAGAAUAGGAGUUAAAAUAAAGGAAACAUAAGUGUGGGGUGUUACAUCGUAGUCGACGACACAAAUUGGUAUCAGGGCCGAAUACCAGCCGGAAAUGUGAGAGCAAAGUGCUAUGCGGGGCAAAGUGCUACACCAACGGAUUUAGUGGGAGCCACCUCUUGAACCCGUAGGAGCCACCUCUAGAAUCUCAUUUCGCCUGGUAAUUUUGGUCUUGAUCCGUCUGUCUGUGAUCUGGUUUGGACCCGACGAGGACGUCAGGGUCUAAACAGGGGGAGUUUGUAACGCCCCCAAUAGUCCCACAUCGGGUGGGAUACUGAUUUUCGAUCGGUUUAUAUGAGGCAUACACGCUAGUAAUAAUAACUGGGCUUAAGCAUUUUGGGCCGGUGGUUUGGGCCCAACGAGUUAUUGUUGCUGGCGGGUCGGGUCGUUGCAAAAUAUUACAACAAGUCUACAAGCAGUGCAAAAAAAAAAAAAAACUCCCCCCUUAGUGCAAUUUGUAAUAUACACCAAACUAGUGCAAAUUUUUCUAUAUAUUUGCUGAUAAUAUGAAGGUAAUUGUGCAAAUAUGUUCGUAAAUGGUUCUACGACAAAAAUAAUGCAACAAUCUUUCAUAAAUAGUGUAACAAGUCCCUAAGCAGUGCAAAUUGUUCUCUAUAUUUGGUGCUUGCAUGAAGUUGUAGUGCAAACAAAUGUGUAAAUGGUGUAACGAAGACGAAAAUAGUGCAACGUUCUUUGAUAAGUAGUGUAAUCAUUCACUAAGCAGUGCAACUCCAUUAUUUUGCAGUCGUCGUAUGUUCUCAUCGUCAUCGUCAACUGUUGCUUGGGUAGAACCGGUACAAUUUCCCAAAUGGUAGAAAAUAGAAGCGAAAAGAAUAAGGCAACUGGCCAUCUCGUGCUCGAAAACAUAUUUGUAUUCAUCUAUGAACGCUUCAGCGCUCUCGGUGUUUGCAAAAGAUAAGUCGAAGAAGUAUAGCAGCAUUGAGGAGGAAAGGGGGUGUAACUUUGACUUAAGAACUGCAAUGAAGUAAUGCUAAUGGUGUAACUUGUAUAUAAUGCUCACUGUAAACGGUGUAACGAAGACUAAAACACUGUGUAUGCAGGAACGAAAAUAGUGCAAUGUGCAAAAACGAAAGCCUACAGUAAUGCAACGGAGGUAUUAGUUGUAUAUCCGGUAAGUAAUAGGAGAAAAGACUCAUAUUAUCUUUGGGUUCUGUAGCACCGCUUUCCAUUACCGAGGAGUGGUGUAAGAACAUACCUCGGGGAAUGAGCGUAAGCGUAAUGAUUUUGCUGACGUCUUAUUCGUGUAUGGUUGAAAAAGUAAAAACUAUAAUCAAUGCCAGUAAAAUUAUUCGACAACAGUUUGAAUUAAUAGUGCAAUAUGCCUCAAAUUAGUGUAAGACAUGUUGAAAAUAAUGUAGUGAGCGAACCAAAUGGUGUAACUGACGCCGAGGUGUUGCAACGACGGUCGGCGGGAGAAGGCCGUUACCAAUUUGCCACCAUCUCAGCAAUGUUGUAAUCGUAAGCGAAUUAUAGCGGGAACGGACCUUCUGUUUCCCGCCGUAACCAGAAAAGUUUUACUCAUCUAAUCGAACUAGAUCAUAUAUGUAUACACAUAAGCUGUUGCACUAUCUGCACUACUUGCACCUAAUACUAUUUCUUCCAACUCAUCCUCAUAGAGAACGCUGAAGUACAAGUUCACUGUCAUUUUAAUGGCUUCUUCGAUGAGGAUGGAGGAAACGUGAGGUACGUAGGAGGAAACUGCCGCCUCGCUUUUCUUGGUGAAGGGGAGACUGUUAAGGCCUUGGAAGCGUGAUUCUUCAAAUGCAUGAAUACUUCACAAGAGAGGUGUAAGAUCCAAAUUAUGCUUAGCUACGCUGGAAAAAUAGGUAACCUUAUCGAUAUUGUAGACGGCGAUGAUGUCCGAAGCAUAUUGAAACUGUAUAGCAACCACACAUUUGCACUUAUUGAGCUAUAUGCGGUGAGCAACAGAGCUGCUAGAGAGGUUCCUACUUGUGAGCCUGACGAGUUAGAUGAGGCGCUUACUGACGAACGAUUGCAAAUCUUGAUAAGUAGCCGGUUAGCAGAAGAUUGUUCGCCUAUACCAUCAAAUGUUGAACCGGUUGGAUCGUGAGUUGCACGUUGUUAAUCAAUUGCACUGAUACUCCUAUUAUGUUGCACAAGUAAUCUUACUAAUGUUACACUAUUCUUGUAGAAUCUUGCACUCUUUUAUCUUUACAUUUCAUUACAUUGCACCAUUUGUGUUUUAACUAAUUCAUUGUAUUGCACCAUUUGCAACUGUUCUGCAGAUCCUGUCAUCCUAUUAUCAUCGACGAGGAGACGGACAGUGACGGUGAUACUUGCCUCUUUGAUAUGAAAGAUGACAUGGAAUCUGACGACAGCCUCCGUAUUGUCAUAUCUCCGUCGAUUGACUCUCACCGGACGUACAACGCUAUUGAUGUUGUCCCGUUGAGCCAAUAUGAAGAAUUUGAUCCAGAGGCGUAUGAAUCCAAGCUGGAGGAAUAUCUCGUGGUCAACAGCGCUACGCCGGAGGCUGUCCGAACUGUCGUUGAUGUGGAUGAUGUCCAUGAGGGCCAGAUUUCCAAUACGCAAGCCGAUUUCAAGAGAGCUAUUAAGUCCUAUGCCAUGAAACGAGGUUUCGAGUACGCCCCCACAAAAUGCAACGAGUUUAAAAUAACGGUGAGAUGCCAUGUCACUGAUUGUCCGUAGAGAAUCAAGGCCCGUCAUUUUCCAGGACUGAAUCAGUGGUGGGUGAAGAAAUUUGAUUCCAAGCAUACGUGCAGCAGGGCAAUAGGAGGUAUAGGGCAUUGGAGUUGCGAUAAGGAAUUUAUCACCUCUGUAAUUUGGGAGCAGGUCAUGGCGAACGAGAAUUACAUGCCGAAGAUGAUACAAACUGAGAUACAACGAUCUUACGAUACAAGAAUAUCUUAUUGGAAAGCCUACCGCACCAGAGAAAGGGUCCUUCAGACGGUCCACAGAGAUUUCGAGGGUUCCUUUGCUGCAUUUCUAGCGUACAUGCGAGAGCUCAGGUUGGGCGACGCAAAUGCAUGCAUUCAGCUAGAAUACUACGAUGAAGGAAGUUUCCACCAGUUCUUUUGGGCAUUUGGUGCAUUAUUCGUGCAUUUCGGAAGAACUGCAGGCCGCUUGUUGGACUGGAUGGUAUGAACUUGCACAAUUAAGCCAAAUUUCACACCUUUGUAUAUAGUAGUUGCACUAUUUUCUCUACAUUUGAUGUGAAAUAAAUUGUUUUGCAUGAUUAUGACCUAACAUACACUGUUUGCCUUACUUCCAGGUACUUUCCUAACUGGUAAGUAUAGAGGUGCUCUGCUGACGGUUUCGUGUAUCGAUGAAAAUAACUAUAUACUGCCAUUGGCGUGGGCAGAGGGAGAAAAUCGAUAUUCCUGGCGCUGUUUUCUAGAAUGGAUGCGGGAUAAUAUCGUUGUGAACCGUGAACUCCAUGGACCAAACAGUGUCAUUACAUUUAUUUCCGACUGUCAAAAGGGCCUCAUUAAAGCGGUAGGUGAUGUUUUCUCGAAACAUACCCACGGUUACUGGGUAUACCACCUAUCCACUAAUCUCCCGCACAGGUCGAAAAAUACCCCAGCGUGGAGAAGGUUUUGGCUGUUGCGGGUGCUUACACCGCCUCAGAAUUCAAUGAGGUAAUGGAGAAGAUAAAAGAUUUGAACCCCAAAUAGUUCAAGUAUGUGUCAAAGCUUCUUUGACACAGGUGGGCUACCCAUUGCUUUCUUGGCAGGCAUUAUUCAAUGCUCACUUCCAACUAUGCUGAGACGAUAAACAGUGCGAUACGACGUUUAAAGAGGCUUUCAAUUACAUACCUCGUGGAGAAAACGCGAAAGAAAAUGGCAUCGUAUUUCUACCGGAGAAAAGUGGCAGGGGAGCAGAUGACGAGCGUUUUAACGCCCUAUGUAGAGAAGAUCAUAGAGAGCUCAAGGGAAGUGUCUCAUUUCUACACCCUAAACCCAUCGACAGAUGUCCUUUUUUAGGUUUUAUCAUUUUAUUUGCACCAUUUUAAAUUAUAUUGCAUUACUUUAGUAAUUUGUUGCACUAAUGUUGAAAGGUAUUGAAUUAUAUCAUAGCUAUUUGCACUAUUGCUAUCACAGUUUGCACUAUUUCUUAGACAUUGCACUAUUUCUUGCAUGUAUGCCAGUGCCUUAUGUUUUUAUAUGAUAGGUAAUCACUCUGGCCACCAUGGAGGUUGUGGAUCUAUCUAAGUGGACAUGUUCGUGCAAGCGCUGGGACAGUGACAGCAUCCCAUGUACUCAUGCCAUGGGAGCAAUCUCAAUGAGAAGGUCCGAUCCAUACGAUUUUGUUGAAAAAUGGUUUAAGACUACUACCUUUCGAGAAACGUACAACGACUACGUCCCCCCGACAAGAGGCAAAGAGCACUAGCCACCUCUGCCAUCCACCGUCGUGCCGCCGCGGCCUCCGAACAUGCACAUACAACCGGGAAGAAGGAAGAUUGCGCAGAGAGAGCCGAUUGCUAAUGGCUUCAUUAAAAAGCAUUGCUGUAAUUGCCAAAGGUGGGGUCACAACAAGUGAUCAUGCAAGAACCCUCCUCAACCCAGAGGGAAGCAGCCGGUGGAGGAAAUUAAAGCCGUCAUGGCUGCAAGUGCGGGUGGUCCCCACGGCGGCGGCGGCAGAAGGGGCGAGAGGCAAGUCAGUCAUCGACAAGGAGGCGGCUGUUGUGACGGGUACGAUCUAGCACAUCGGCGUUAAGAUUGACUACCAUUAUGUGGAGUGCUUCAGUUACUGCGAGCCCAUUAGUUCUCUUCUCUUCAAGUUUCAAACAUUUAUUCAGGUUUGCUUAUGUUCUCAUUUAUUUAUAUUUUUUACUCAACAAUGAGCCUGUUUUCGACCAUUGUAGAGCGGUGAUCCAAAGGGCUCGGAGCAAUUGAAGCGCUUUAGGUAGUGCGAGUCGAUCUUAAUGCUGAUCUGCUUGGUCCUACCCUUCCCAACAGCAUCCUCCUCCUCGACCACUCCUUCGCCUCACUCCCCUUCUGCAGCGGCCGUCGUCGACACGACCACCGCUGCUAACCACAAUGACUUUAGUUUCUGCCCCCUCGCAACCACUGGCUGGGCAGCUGAAACAAAUGUGACGAGAAAGAGUUGCGGACGCCGCCGCAGCCGCAGCCACAGCGACUUGGGAUGAGAAAUACGACGACCCUCCUCCUCCGCCGCCGCAUCGCUUGCGUUUGGUGGGGACGCCCUUCGUCGCCUUCACCUCCUUGACUAAAAGUAGUGUCGCCCUGUGCAUGGAAGUGCAAAAAAUGCCAGAUGAUCUCUAUUAUUUUGUUAAAUGUUUAGAGAAAACGGUAUCUUGUAUACAAAUCCUGUCUUUUAUGUUGUAAAGUACUAUAAAAUAGUAUAAUUUGCAUCAAAUAAAGUGUAAUCCUUGCCCUAGAUUAAUAGAGUGCAUUUUCUAUUUCAAUAAUUAAUCUUCUUCUUAUUCUUUUGGCUUCUAUUUUCUACCCUUUGAGAACUUGACUCUUUGCACGAUUUCUUUUAAACCAUUGCACUAAUUAGGAAUAUGUUACACCACUUAGAGCCUUUUUUUGCACUACUACCUUCGUGAUAGCACAACAUACAGAUAACAAUAUGCUCUUUUUUAGACAUGGUUAAAACUAUUGCACUAAUUAGGUAAAUGUUACACCGCGGAACCCCCUCCUUUCUUCUCUCUCCUCCCUCCUCCACUUCCAGACCCUAAGCCAUGUCCCUCGGCCACACUUCUUCCACUUCUCCUCUACAAACAAGUGUUGGAAUGAACUCCCCUACGCUUUUUACGGUUUGGGAAGAAGAUAGCCUGAUUGCCUUCUGAGGGAGUGGGAUAUUGCCCUGGUGAGGAGAAGAUUGAACGCUAGCGUCGCACUAUUAAAUAUGGAAGUUUCACUAUUAGAAAGGUUGCUGCACCAUUUCUUUUCACGUUGCUCUUUUGAGUUGCACUAUUAUUCUUAUCGCCGGGCGUGUAGUUUUUAUCGUGUAGCUUCAGCAUAUCUAAUUUCUAAAAGCCAAACAGUAAACACCGGGGCUGAUUUGGUUCGCAUUCCGAUUAGUGGGAGGUUGCGUAGAGAUGCUCGGGGCGCAUUUCAUGCCCGGCCAGACGGCGUGCAUUAUGGUAUACGUAUCCGAGGGAAUAUGCGAGAGGCGGAUGGAGACAAGGGGCAUUUUGGUUAGACGACAAAAAAUUCAGUUCGAAUCUGCAAAAUCGAAAAAAUGGCCCAAUUUUAUAUAAACUCAAAACUAGUGAAUUUUUUAUGCAAAUUGGCCAUGAUUAUUUUAUAAAGUCCGAAAGAAAAUAAGAGAGAGAGAGAGAGUGAGAGAAAAUAAGAGAGAGAGAGAGAGAGAGAGAGAGAGAGAGAUGGGUUGCUUUUUUUGCGCCGGCGAGAGAGAGAAUCCGGAAAACAACAAGGAUCAGAUCAAACCUUUCUCCGCAGGUAUUCCCACUCCCCUUCAUGUUGAUCGCCUCCUCCCAAAUUUCAUUUUCUCUUUUUUUUCUUUUUCCUUUUCAUAUUUGGUGUUUCUUUUUUUUUUUUUUUUUUUUCUUUUCCUUAGUGUUUCUAGAGCUAUUUAGAAUCGAUUCAAUCGAUGUUUUGAGGCCUCCCCUCCCAAUUUUCUCUUCUGUCGGUUUGGUUCGGAUUCAAGCUAAUAAAUUGGAUUUUCUUUCUCUUUUUUCUUUGUAAUCACAAUUUUUUUUCCCCUCCCUUAUUUCUAAGGAAUUUUCUAUUUUUCUUCCUUACUGGAGACAUGUUUUUAGUUAAGUCUAUGGAAUAGUAAUUCAUAUUUUUAGGUUUAUUGUGGUUAGAUAUAAAUCAAAUCUUUCUCUAUUGUGUUUAAUGGACUUUUUUUUGGAUUUGAUUGUAGAUAGAUAAAUUUUAUAUACAAUAUUAAGUCCUAAUUGUGCUAGAACUUGCAAAUCAAAUGGUAAGAAAUGAAAUAUUGUUCAUUAUAAUUUAUUUUAUUGGUAACUCUUUGUAACUCAAGUAUGUAAUUGCUUCAGCAGACUGUAAAGGCUUUCCUGUAAUUCUUUUCUCCUUCCUCUGUUUUAGAAGAGAAGUCCAAAUCAAAUUUCCAACUGAAUGUGAGGAAGCAGAAUUCAUUAGAGCUGAAGAGAGGGCCUUCGAGUAAUGGAUCGGAACGCGCGGUGCAGACGUUUACUUUUCGUGAAUUGGCGGCGGCGACUAGGAAUUUCAGGGCUGAUUGCCUUCUCGGGGAGGGCGGAUUUGGGCGAGUUUACAAAGGCCGCUUAGAAAGCAUAAGCCAGGUUAGAUUGUUAAACUUUGCCUUUUGGCCUUCCAUAGUAAUUAUCGUAUUGUGCCUAUUUGACUUGACUUCUGAAACAACUUUUCUGCACUAAGAAGCAUAAGCUUCUAGAAACAAGAUUGGAGAUUGUGUCACCUGGAGUUACUGUAAGACUUUUGUCUAUGGUCUUGCAGCCCACUCUACUAGAUACUAGUAUGAAACUUUUGCUUUUCCGGGAAGCUGAUAACAUGAGCUUUUUGGGCCUUGAAAGCUGUUAGUUCCAAUUUGAAGCCUUUUUGUUCUGUUGUGGCGAGAAGUUGCGGAGGAGAUUUUGAAUGAAGAAGCCUGUAGAUCUUCUUCAAACAGUUCACGUGUUUUGUGUUUGAUUAUUUCUUCAUGUUUUAAUAUAUGGAAACUAGAACUGAUUAGCAAGAGUAUUUCUCAUGUAAUUUUGUAACAUUUUGUUACCAUGAUUUCUCCACUUAUGCUCGCGGUAGAAAGCGAAGUUCUGAAAAAUAUAUGUCAUUUUGUAACACGUAGCGUGCUCACGGCCAUAUGUUUGUUUCUUACCAUCGUGAACAGAUUGUCGCCAUAAAACAGCUCGAUCGAAAUGGAUUGCAAGGGAACAGGGAGUUCCUUGUCGAAGUCCUGAUGUUGAGUUUACUCCACCAUCCUAAUCUCGUUAAUCUAAUUGGUUAUUGCGCUGACGGAGAUCAAAGGCUUUUGGUCUACGAGUACAUGCCAUUAGGAUCAUUAGAAGAUCAUCUUCAUGGUAUCCUUGUCACAGCCCUCUUUGUUGUUACCAAUUUUCCAACAUAAUAUUUUCCCUACGAGGGCUUUUACACGUAUAUAUGUACCCCUUGAAAGUGCAUCUUCUUACAAAAAUAGCUUUAAGUUAGGGAAUCAUCCAAUUUGCAGGGACAAGUUGGUUUUAUUUUAAUAAAAGAUUUUUUUCGAAGAGGAGCAAUAUAAGAUGCAGGAAUAUGUCUAAGAAUUGACGAUUUUGUCAGCAGGGGUAUAUGUUUUGAAGAUAAUUUUGUUGGGUUGUAUGUCUAAAUAUGUUUUUGUUUACAAAUUACAUUAUUAAAUAUGCUGUAUUACCUGCUUACAAAUUUUGUUGGUUGCAGACCCUUCUCCAGAUAAAAAGAGUCUCGACUGGAAUACUAGAAUGCGAAUAGCUGCCGGUGCAGCUAAAGGAUUGGAGUAUCUCCAUGACGAAGCCAAUCCACCCGUCAUAUACCGCGACCUAAAGUGCUCAAAUAUUUUACUCGGAGAGGGAUACCAACCCAAACUCUCAGAUUUUGGUUUGGCGAAGCUCGGCCCUGUUGGGGAUAAUACCCAUGUAUCCACUAGGGUCAUGGGUACAUAUGGCUAUUGUGCGCCAGAGUAUGCUAUGACCGGACAGUUAACCCUAAAGUCCGAUGUUUAUAGCUUUGGGGUCGUUCUGUUGGAGCUUAUCACCGGGAGAAAAGCUAUUGAUAAUUCUAGGGCUGCGGGGGAGCACAAUCUUGUUGCAUGGGUAAGAAAACCUUCUAUUAUUUUCUCUCUUAUGUUGGUUUGAAAUCAUUUGAAGUAUGUUACCCAUGGAGAGGAAAGCAGUUUUGGGAGGUUACUUUGAGUCUCCUUUGAGUGUUUUAUUCUACUACAAGAUACAGAUUGAAAUGAAAUUCUUCGGUAUUCUAUACUUGUCGGCAUAUAUAGUUUAACUGCCUGGUUGGCUAAUGGUUAAAGCAGAGAUUAAGCGCUAGGAAAAUAAAAGCACAAGCUCUAAUUCGAAAUUUCUACUUUUGCUGUGGUAAGAAGCUGUGAAGAAAAUUUUAGUGGACAAGCUAUCGGCGUGGCUUCUCCGAAUAGCUCUGAAUCCCGAAUGCUGAAAAUAUGUUUUCCGCUAGGCUUAUAAUAGUUUUGGACAGGUUAAUGCAAUAAAAAAAAAAAGUCAUCUUGUUCAAAUGCACUGCAUCCCUAAUGCAAUAGCUCUUGAAGUACUAUCUUGUUUACUUCUAUGUUAUGUGUAUACGAAUGCAUUACAACUUUAAAUUGCAGGGACGGCCUUUAUUCAAAGAUCGAAGAAAGUUUCCUCAAAUGGCUGAUCCGAACCUUCAGGGCCAAUACCCGGUGAGGGGAUUAUACCAAGCCCUGGCCGUCGCAGCCAUGUGCCUUCAAGAGGACCCCGCGCUGAGACCUCUGAUAGUCGAUGUCGUUACAGCACUUACUUAUCUUGCUUCGCAAACUUACAACCCGGAAACUCAACCCACCUCAAACAUGCCCCGUCUCUCGUGGCCGGGUACUCCCCCGCAGGCGAGGAGGGGCGUCGAAAGGAAAAUGAGCGGCGGAUCAGAGAGACAGCGAAGUCGAGUGGAUUAAAUGAGGAUUUUGGAGCAUUGGGGGUUGUAAAAUUUUGGUCUUUUGGCUGUCAAUCUGGUGUCUGGUGAUCAACAUCGGUAUUCAUCUUUGGAAAGACACUUCAAGACUAUUCAGUAGUACUUUCUGUUUCCACUUUUGUAUAUGUUGCUCUGGUCUUUGUAUGUAUGUUGUGUUAAAACUCUGAAUCUAAAUUCAUAUUAUUAUUACUAUAAUUAGUUAUUAUUUAUUUUUUUUUCCGAAACUCAUAGCAUAUGUUGCAAGUGAUGUCGUGUUUUUAUUUUUGUGAUAUUUAAAUAUAAAAUUAUUAUGUUAUUUUUGAUUAUAUCCUCUGCUGUCUUAUCUGGCACAACAAGAUCAGUUUGGGAUAUAUUUUAUGUGAUAUGGCCAUUACAAAAAGAGACAUUUUUGUUUUUCCCUUAGAAUGACACUAAUAGUUUGAAAAGUGCCUUAAAGCAUGAACCAAUCGACUUGUGCCAUGUAAGAUUACCAAGAUAUGGAUGACUUGGUUAAUGUUGUUGGGCAUCCUUAAUGCAGGCCUAAGGGAAACUAGGAUUCAAACUUGGGUCUUGGGUACCAACCACCAUGCCCCUUGCCACUUGCUCUAGAGACGGUCGGUGUCUUUCUUGCAACAGUUAUUACAAAUAAGAUAUCUUUCAAACUAUUCAUAUUUUGUCCGAGUGAGAUAGAGCAAAAUCCAAUAAGAAGCAAAAUAGAAUUUGCACAUUAAGAUAAUGUUUUAAUUUUUUUGUAUCUUCAUGUAAUGUGGAGAUAUUUGAUUGGACAAUCCAAAUGCCAAUCAAAAUGAUUUUAAUCCCUACAAUCCCUCAUUCAAGGGCGGUAGGGUUUACUAACCCUUUUUUUAUUCUUACCCAAAAAAAGUAAUAAAAUUUUUAGAGAAAAGAGCAGUGUUAGCUGUACAUCCUAAUCUGGAGUGUACAUCUUACAAUCAACAAAUCAGACGGCUACCAUUAUUUUAAUUAUUUUAUUCAAAAAGCAAUUGUUAUCCUUACCAUUUAUUGUAGAGAGAGAGAGAGGGAGGGGGGGAGGAGGGAAAUAAGAAAAGCAGUGGGUCAGUAAAAUAGAAAGUGAGAAUUAAAACUCAAUUUAAAUUGGAUUAAUCUGAAUCAUCUCUGUUUCCGCUGUAAAAUAUACAUCCCAAACUGAUAUAUACCGGUAAACCUUUCCUUGCUUAUAUAGUAGUCGAUCACUUAAAUUAUAAAACGCAUAACUCUUGGCUUUUUAAAUUUUAAUGUAUUGUAAUUUUUUACUGCAAUCAAAUUUUACAAUGCAAAGUAAUUCGUCAGAUAGUGAUGUGCUGCUGAUGUGACAGUAAUUUAGUAUUUUAAUCAUUCUCACAUUCUCAACUAUAAUAUUACUAUAUUAGUGGUACAUUACCAGCACAUUAUAUAUUACUUAAUUAACUAAAAUAUAAUCUAAAAUUUUAUUGUUACAAUUUGCAAAAUUUUAAUCUAAAUUUAAUAAAUUAAAAUUUAACGAUCGAAAUAAAGAACGAAUUCCAGUUUGAAGACCGAGGGCACCUUUUAGCAAAGAGAAAAGAGAAAGAGGAAAAGAAAAAGUUUGACGCCGGUUGGGAGCAAUAAUUUGGUUUGGCUGUAGGAGAGAAGAAUCCAGCCGGCACGGAAGGACUUGUUUGAAAAGCAGAGGUCGUACGUCUGGCGUGCUAAUCAGGAAACAGCAUCCGCACGGAAAUAUUUGGUUUUGUUUUGUUUUUUUUUAAUGACAACGAAAUUUUGAAGUUGGAUAAAAUUUUGGAAAAACUUCAAAUAUUAUUUAUGUAGUUUCAUAUUUUUUUACUCUAGUAUUUUCUAGUUUAAAGUGUAUCAAUUUAGUGUCUUGUAGUUUUAUUUUUAUUUUUUUAUUAUCAAUUUUAUUAAUUUUUUUUGUUAAAUCAGUAACAACGUUAAAACUAAAGAGUACUAAAAGCGAAUAUUUGAUAACCCUAGAUGGGGUAUCUGAAGUUUUUUGUAUAUAAUUUAACAAAAUAUUAACAAACAAACUGACGAAAAGAUAAAAAUGAAACCAUAGGACACUAAUUUGAUACACUUUAAACCACAUGGUAUUUAAGUGAAAAAGUGUAAAACUAUAUGGAUGGUAUUUGAAGUUUAUGCUAAAAUUUUAAUUAGAAGCAGCUAGAUGAUAUUUUGAAUGCAUCAUGAUUUCAAUCUAUACAGUUUUAUAAAUGAUAUUUUAUAGGAGCUGUUACAUGUUCUAGUGUGAUAAGAUAGGCGGUCUAUUCUUUAAUUUGAUUGCACCCUUUUUAAUUUUAUUGUUCAAUUUUAUUUCUUUUUCCUUCUUAUAUAUUUAUUUUCAUGCUCCAUGUUAAUGUACAUAACAAUUGACUAAUUAGAUAAAACUAAAGGUAUAUAUAAAGUUUACUCUUUUCUCUUGAUUUGUUUAUUUUCUCAUCUAACUUUUUUGCAAUUUUCGCUCCAAAAAAUUAUUUUUUCUAUAAAGUAUUCUCUUUUCUUAUCAUUGUUUUUUUUUUUUUUAUACUUUUUAUCUCAGAUUUGUAAGUUAAACUACUUUCUUUUGGUGAUAGCUUUUCAUAUUAAAAGUUGCUGUAAUACACAUAAUUAUAUAUUUUUAAGAGGCAAAAAAUGUAGUAAUCUUAUAAAAUCUUAUAUAAUAUAAUUAAUAGCAUAAAAAAAUUUAAAAUCGAUGCAUUCAACAAAUAUAAGAGAUACAUGUAUAAUGAGUUGUACAACAUCUUCUAUUUCUAUCAACCGUCCCUAGAGCACGUGGCAAAGGACUUGGUGGUUGGUACCCGAGACCUAAGUUCGAAUCCUAGUUGAUUCAUAUUUCCAGCUAAGUUUAUUUUUAAAUGAAAUAAACGAAGCGGGUAGCGUGCUACCUAUCUCUCAAAAAAAAAAAAAAAAAAUCUUCUAUUUCUCAACAUAAAUGGAGGGAUUGCUGAUAAAUCUACUGAAUUAGUUCAGUUAACAAAAUUGAUCCAAGAUUAUAGGCCUCAAAUAACACAUUUGGGUGGCAGUAAAUUAAUGCACCAUUAACCUAUUAUAAAUUGGGAGUAUUAGAUUUAAAUCCUAAAAUCCAAAUUUAGAAUCCUAUUUGAUUCAGAUUUAAUACCAAUUUUUUACAAUUAUUUAUAAUUCCACAAAAUAUUUAAUUGGUUUCAAUCCACAGUGAAUUCAGUAUGAUCUUGAAGAUUGAUUUAACAAUCAGAUGUUUGUUUAAAUGACUCUUGAGAUCAAUUUAUUAUUCAGACUGACUUCUUGAACAGCUUCUAUACUCUACGGGCGCGUUUGGUUCAAAAUGAAAAAAAAUAGAAUGGGAAUGGGAAUCGGAAUGGGCAAGAGUCGGAAACGGAAUGAUACAACCUCCUAAUAUGUUUGAUUCAGUAUAACAAUCGAAAUCGGUAUAGUUGAUUCGUGCUUUUAAUAUUUGAAAAUUUUGAUUAUAAAAAAACAAUUAAAAUAAAAUUAAAAUAAAAUUAAAAUACAAAAUAUAAAAAUAAUUUAAAUUUAGUUUGCACCUCAAAAUAUAAAAUUAAAUUUAUAAUUUAGAUUCAAACUAAAAGUUAAGUAUUAAAAAUUUACAUCAAAAAAUUGAAAUGAUAAGCCGAAAUUUUAAAUCUAAUUUUUUAAAAAAAUAAAAUUUAAAAUUGAGCGGACUAUUCAAAAUAUAAAACUAAUUUUUUAUUUGAUUCAAAUUCAAAUUUACAACUAAAUUUACAUUUAAAUUUAUAGAUCAAAUUCAAACUGCUUCAUUGAAUUUAUAUAAAAUUUAAUUUAAUUUCUAAAUUAAAAUAUAGAAUCAAAAAUUUAAUUUCUAAUUUAAAUUUAUAUUUUAAUUAAAAAUUAAAAUCAAAGAGUUAAAUUUAACUUUAAAUAAAAAUAUAAAAUAUAAAAUAUAAUUGAGAUAUUUUCGUAAAGUGCAUUCUUUCCGUCUAAAUUUAAGGCCAGAUUGGAAAAAGAGAUAAUUGGGAGAUUCACAUUCAUCUGAAAAUUGAAAUCCGAAUGGGACUCUCACAUACUAAAUACUUACAAAUAUAUUCGUCUAUUUCAAUUUCGAUUCCUGGAUUAAAAAAAAAAAAAAUUCAAAUGCACCCUAAAAAUAACAGUUCGUCAUUUAGCAAUCAACAGUUCGUCAUUUAGCAAUCAAGAUUAUGGACCGGCUGCCUAUGCUAAGAAGUAAAAUAAGGUCCUAGUCCUCAAGUAUAAAGUUCCAAUGUCAUGGUAAAAGAAAAUUAUAAAAUACUAAUUAAGUAUACGUGCAAAUGCUAACAAAUAUUUUAAUAACUACUUCAAAUUAAUAUAAAUUUACACAUCAUAUUUAUUCAAAUUUAUAACAUAAAAUUUAAAUUUUAAAAAAUAAAUUCAUUUAUUAUGUACUAUUAGAAAAUGUCUGUCAUAUUCUAACUCAAAUUUAAAUAUUUGUCGUCAACAAUAAUUAUAUAGUUCUUUUUUUUAUUUUAUAAAAUUUAUAUAUAGUGUAGAUAUAGAUAUACAUUGAAUUUUUUUUUAUAUUUUCUAAUUUUGAUAAAUUUAAAAUUUAAGUAUAUAUUUUAAACUAAAAUCAUCAAAAUUUAAAAGUUAUUAUAACAAUAAAAUAUUAGUAGAUAGAAUAGCGAUAAUAUAUAAAGAUUUAUCUUAAAAAAGAAGAUAUUGAAUGAUAAAAAUAUUUAAUAAAAAAUAAAAUAUUAAUUGUUGGAGAAAAAAGAGGAACUAAAAGUUUGUUUUCUUAUGUUAUUUAUUUUGUGUACGUGAAAAGAUGAAUUUUGAAAUGAGUCUGUCCACGAACUGAAAUUUGAAAAAAUAUUUUUUAUUUACCUUUCAUUCUACUCAAUCAGGUUUUUUUUUUGAGAGAUAGGUAACAUGCUAUCCGCUUUGUUUAUUUCAUUAAACUUAGCUGGAAAUGUGAAUCAACUAAGAUUCGAACUUGAAACCUCGGAUACCAACCAUCAAGUUCUUUGCCACUUGUGCCUGAGAUGGUUGGUUACUCAAUAUCAAAAAGUCAUAACAAAAUGGGUUUUUUUUGCAAUUGGACCCCUGAAAAAAAUUAUUUUUAAAACUAACCCCAGCAAAUUUAUAUUUACAAAAAUGGCUCUGCCCCUGCCACGCAAGCGUCACGUCAGCGCCACGCGGGUAGAGCUGGGGGCGGUAGUUAAGUUAAACACGGUGAACCAUUCACCGUGUCACCGUGUUUAGAGUUAGUACGUAUUUUUUGCAAUAUAAAUAUUAAAAAGAGAAAUAGGGAGUAGAAAUGUCAAUGGGUAUGGAUAUCCGAAAUAUUAUUCGAACCCAAAUCCGAAUAAAUUAUAUAUAUACAUAAUUUAUUUUUAUUUAUUUAUACAAUAUAUAAAAUAUUUAAUAAUUUUUAUUUCUUAGAUCUUUAUUCAACGGUAUAGAUUUUUAAAACCCGCUGGGCUCAGGUUCGGGUUUCGAGUUUUUGGUCGGAUAUGGAUAUGGGUAUGAAUUUUUAAAAUCCGUUGGGUUUGGGUUUUAAUUUGAUUUUCGGGUUCAGAUUUAGAUUUUUAAAAAAGGGAAAAAAAAUGAAUACAAAUAUGAAACACGGUAAACCAUUCACCGUGUUCAAACACGGUGAAUGGUUUACCGUGUUCAACUUAACACACUGGUCACAGCCCUGCCGGUGUGGCGUUGAUCUGGCGCCUACGUGGCAGGCCCAGAACCAUUUUUGCAAAUUAACUUUUGAUAGGACUAUUUUUAAAAUAAAUAUUUAUCAGAGGGCUAAAUGUACAAAACCCCCUUAAAAUUAGGUACUAGGUACUUACCUGUACACAAACACUUCUUCUUUUCUAAAAGGAACAAUAAUCAAUUUUGUUGUCAAUGUUUAGAAAAAAAAAAUCUAAAAUAUGAGUGUUAUCACAUUAUCUAUAGCUCUAAAUAAUCAAGUUUGCUCAUAAAAUUUACCAUCGCAUCAUGAUUUUUUUCUUUAAAAGAAAAUUGUUGUGCUUUUGCUCAAAAUAAGAUAUCUAAUUGACUUAAACAAAAUUAUAUAUAGUGCCACUGCUGUAUAAAAGACCAUCUCAGUAUUUUGAGGACUUAUCUAUUUUGUUAGGGUUUUUUUGUAUUUAGCCCUCUAAUAAAUUUUUAUUUUAAAAAUAGCCCUACUAAAAUUUAAUUUGCAAAAAUGGCCCUGGGCCUGCUACGCAGGCACCACGUCAACGCCACGUGGGCAGGGCCGGGGCCAGUGUGUUAAGUUGAACACGGUGAACCAUCACGUGGUUCACCGUGUUUAAUCACGGUGAAUGGUUCAUCGUAUUUCAUAUUUGUAUUUAUUUUUUUUCUCUUUUUCAAAAAUUUAAAUCCGAACCCAAAAAUCAAAUUAAAAUUGAAAGCGGACGGAUUUUAAAAAUUCAUACCCAUAUCUAUAUCCGACCAAAAACUCGAAACCCGAACUUGAACCCAGCGGGUUUUAAAAAUUUAUACCAUUGGAUAAAGAUCUAAGAAAUAAAAAUUAUUAAAUAUUUUAUAUAUUGUAUAAAUAAAUAAAAAUAAAUUAUGUAUAUAUAUAAUUUAUUCGGGUUUGGGUUCGAAUAAUAUUUCGGAUAUCCAUACCCAUUGACAUUCCUACUCCCUAUUUCUCUUUUCAAUAUUUAUAUUACGAAAAAUGCGUACUAGCUCUAAACACGCCCAGCCCGCCCGCGUGGCGCUGACGUGGCGCUUGUUCACCGUGUUUAACUUAACUACCGCCCCCAGCCCCGCCCACGUGGCGUUGAUGUGGCGCUUGCAUGGCAGGGACAAAGCUAUUUUUGUAAAUAUAAAUUUGCUGAAAUUAUUUUUAAAAAGGGCUUUUUUUGCAAAUAGCCCCCUGAAAAAUUUUAUUUGCGCAAAUAGCCCCGUGUAAAAUUUAUUUGCAAAAAUGGCCCUGACUCUACCACGCCAGCGCCGCGUCAGCGCCACGCGGGCAGGGCCUGGGGCAGGUGUCUAAGUUGAACACGGUGAUUGGUUGGUGAACCAAUCACCGUGUUCAUUGUAUUACUCACACCCCGCCGGGGGUGUUAGUAUUACAUUAGACACGGUGAUUCGUUCACCGUGUCUAAACACGGUGAGCUGUUCACCGCAUUUAGACGCGGUGAACCAUUCACCGUGUCUAAUGUAUUACACACCCUCACGCGGGUGUGGGGUAAUGCAUAUAACACUGUGGGCGGGUGUGGGGUAAGGCAUGUUAUAACCACGGUGAUUGGUCACCGUGUCUGAACACCCGGUGAUUGGUUUCACGCGUUAGACACGUGAACCAUUCACCGUGUUUCUCUUUAACACAAACCCCCCUCCCCCGAACUACUGCUGUGUCAUGUCUCGAUCUCUCCUCUCUCAUCAUUCUUCUCUCUCUCUCUUCUCUCUCUCUCUCAUCUCUCUCUCUCUCCUCUCGCUCGUCUCUUUUCUUCCUCUUGCUCUCUCUUCCUCACCUCUCUCGGCCGACCGCGCAGGAUGCCGCCGUCGCACGCUUUUGCACCGAGGUACCUCCUUUCUUUCGUUCUCUCUAGCCUAGAAGCAUUAUCUCUCUCUUUCUCUCUCUCGUGACUCUCUCUCUCUCUCUCUCUCUUCUUCUCGAUCUGUAUCCUCUCUCUCUCGUUCUCGCCUCGUGCCACCUCGGCCAGCCACGCGCGAUGCCGCCGCUUCCCACCCCCUCUGUGAGGGGGGGACUUCUCACACGUGAGUAAGCCCCACCCUCCCCCCCGUCCCCCACCCUGCCCCCCUCCCCCCGCCCCCCCCCCGCCCCACCCCCGCCCCCCCCCCGCGCCCGCCCGACCCCCUCCUUCCCACCUCUUUUUCCUUCGGCUCCUGCCGUCGCCUGCUCCCUGCCCCCUCCCCCCCCGCUCCCCACCACCGCCCGCGCCCCCCCUACACCACCCCCCGGCCGCCCCGACCCCCCCCCCCCCCCCCCCCCCAGGGGGGCCCCCCCCCCCCACCACCCCCCGCCCCCCCACACACUUCUUGAGAAGGUUCAUGUGAGACCCCCCUCCCCUCCCCUCCCUCCCACUCCUCUACCCCCAAACAUGUGAGAAGGUUCUCUGCCCCCCCGCCCUGCACUUGUCCCCCCCACGCAUUCUCACAUGGAUGCCCUGUGAGCUCUCACGGUGAGAAGACCACUUGAGCUUCUCAUUGUUGAUGAACACCCCUCCCCCCCUGCCCCAAUCACUCUCACAAGUGGCUUUCACAGUGAGAAGCCACUGUGAGAACACCCCCCCUCCCCCCAAAGCAUAUCAUAUGGCUUCUCACAGCUGAGAAGUCUUUCACUGCAACCCCCUCCCAUGUUCAUGAUUGUCUCGAUUUCUUGUCACAGAUCAUUCUGCGUCUUAAUUGGCAAAGUGAGUCACGACGCGACCGGUGCUUGACAAUAGUUAAUUCCAUCUUUUACAGUCGCUUCUUUUAUAUGUUAGAAAUGUGAUAAUGUCUUGAGUUAAUAAUUUUUCUACAUGUAAUUAUACUACUUUAGAACUUAAUCUGGCUCCAUUUCUUCGUAUAUACAUGGACGGAAUUUUGUCGGAGAACAAUAAUUACCACGAAUAUUGGUGCCGUAAGAAUUGGUUGCGUCCGACUCAAUAUCUCAUUUUCUGGAUUUAGAGAUGAAAUAUACAAUGUACUAAUUAUGAUUGAAGUGAGACCGUCUACGCCCACGGUAAAAUGUCAAUGGGAGUGAAUGGGAAUUUUUAACGUAUCAAAAUACAGAUCCUACUAAUCUAGCGUGCACUCUAAGGUCGGAUAUUUUUCGUUCCUGAUUGUAUUCAAAAUUAUACGUGACGCAGAAGAUGCGGUCGCGGCACCACGACGUCUCCAUAAUAACCGAUUUUUAUCAACUAAAAUGCGUCCUACCCGCAAUGAUCAAAGAAUACGUCCAAUUCGACAGAGGUCGUAACAUCAAGGUAUCAAAGCUAAUGAAUCUUUAUAAAUCUUUUUCGUGAUUUCUCAUUAGUUUAGAUGUCGCAGCGAAAUUUAAUUAACUUGCUGUAAUGUUCAAGAUUUGAGUCCAUCUCAAGCCAGUUAUGCAGCAUUGCGUCUCGUAGAGUGAUGAUCGUUCGUUGUUGAAUCAAAAUGAGUGUGUAGGUGAUUCUAUGAUUUAUGUUACAUAAAAAAUUAAGUGAAUAGUUAAAUCUUAUUAUAUCUUCUACAGGUCUACUGUCCCGUCCUUAUCAAAAGUCCAGACCAUCAUAUAUAUUCAUGAAUGGUAGAAUUGGAAAGUCAGAACCCACUAUCCUCCUUAUCAAAAUAAUGUCUCAAUGAGGUUUCAUCUAUGGCGGGCUUGCGGAAGUAAGAAAAUACUAAGCAACUCCUCUAUGUGGAUGGAAGGUUCCAGUGAUAAUCUAAGUGUUAAUGAAUAUCGGUUGGAAGUAAGAAGUACUAACCAUCCUUAUGUAGAUGAAGUUCCAGCGACCAUUCAGUGUGUUCAUCAAGGAUCGGCUUGGCCAAGAAGAAAUACUAUCCCUCCUUAUCAAAAUGAAGGUCCAUAUUCACUCAUCAUGAAUGGACCAAAUCGGGGUAGAUUGACUACAAACUGAUCUAUUGGAUCGUAGUAGAAGCUGUAGAGUGGAUAUAUUAGUGAAACUGUACGAAGAGAUCAAGGGCGAAUGAUGCUGAAGUCUAGUGGAUGCGAUGAGGAAUCCUUUGUUGGUGUUCUUGAUCCUGAUCCAUGACAGGUGCUUAAAUGCCCUCGAUACGCUAUUCGAGUAUGAAGGUCUUAUUGGAUUGGAAACACUCAAAUCUGUUAACAACGAAGAUUGUACCAGAUCCGGUGCGAAUUCGUGGAAUUUGAAGAUCAAUCGACAACGGUUUUGGCCUGUGUAAGAAGUUAAUUAAUCAAGCUUUAUAAGCAUCUACGGAACCAAAAUAUUAAUCAGGAGUCCUCAAGUGAUGAAUCAUGAGCUAAUCGACUUUUUUGAUAAAUCAUCGCUGAUAAAGGGCUUGGACAUUUGGCAUUGCACAUAUGUGCCAACUUAAAGUUGUUUAUGUCAAAUAAACUAUAUUAACUUUGCGACUAUGUGUGUCGAUCUUACCAUCGAGUAUUACAUGCUCUCGGACAGAAAGAUAGUUCAUUUUUAGAAAACUUAUAAAGGUCCACACACUUGUUUGGUUCAAUUUAAAUACAAUCAUCGGAAACGUGUACAUCAUCUUUUAUAUGUCAAUUAUACUACUUAACUGAAGGCGAAGGCUUACAAUGGUCCUAUGGAAAUUCAAGCCCGCGCUUCAGAGCGAGUUACACAUUAGCAUAUCAUAUAGCAAGGCUUGCGCGGCACAGAAAUAAAGCACUACAAAUUAUAUACGCUAGUUGGGGAAUCGAUACUGCGGACCUUCCUCGAUACUUCUCUACGUUGGAAUGCAAACAAUCCAGGACAACUAUUACAAAGAUGAAUUUAUAUUAGUGUGGCAAGCAAUACUGAGAAUGUUUUCACAUGCUUUCUGGCACUUUGGGACAGUCGAUUUAUGAUUGGAGAGUAUUGCCGGCCAAUUACUUAGUAAUCAAUGCUACAUCUGUAUGGAAAAUACGGAGGCCACGCUAUUAAUUGCGCCACAGUGUGAUUGGCCAAUGGUGUUUCAAUUUCCGCUAGUUUCGCCAAUUGGUGAGAAGAAAAAUGUCUCGAGUUAGGAGUUUUUCUUAGUUGCCUAAGAAGUAUUAACAGAUCCAGUUAUUACACUAAUUUAGAUCGUUUUAAAGGCCUAGCGAACCGUUGCACUUUAUUUCCACCAUUAAAGGUCAUGCGCGCAUUGAUGGUGUUUACGACAUAUGAGGCCAAUGUGAAUAUCAAUUUUCAAAGCCAGAAAACACUUACUUAAAUUUCUUAUCAUUGGGAGUGCUCAGAAGAACGCCAAUAUUACGCAUUAAAAAGAAGAAUUGCAAGCUGUGGAUGAGAAGUUGAGCGUUGGGAUCACAAAUCGUUCAUAAGAUUGAUCAUACCGGGCUAAAGCUUUUGAUGUGGUCGACGAUAUCGGUAUUAUGACAUACUAACCAUUGAAUGUUUAAAUGGGUGUUGAGGGGAGUUCGCGCCUUUCCAAAUAUCACUUUAUGUGAUUGGCAACAUUUCAUCAAGUGGUAGAAUUCUUUCUAAAACAUCAGGGGAGGCGUGACAAUUGUCUCGCAAUUUGUAUCGAAUGUUGAAUAACAAUAUCAAUAGCCCGGAUGAGAAGUCCUAGAGCAUAUACAGUUCGACGUUUGCAUUUCACCCAUGUUCGACGAUACUUACUGGCGGUGAUGUUCAAUACCAAGUGAUUAUCAAUGAAGCAUUCUAGCAUGUCCAUGUAUUGUGUUUGCAACUCACAGAAUCACUGUGUCAACACAUUUUGUCAUUGUAGUUCAUCACACCGAUCGAACAUAGUAUUUAUGGCCUUAGUUGCUCUCGAGGUUAUACCUGGUUCGCAUCAUAUGUAAGACUUCGUAUGAACCGCAGUUCAACUCACGUACCGAUCGUCGUUAUUAAUCGUGUUAUAUAUUCUCUAUAGUGCCACCACGGGAGAGUAAGAAAAAAGCUGAUGACCCAGUCGUAACGUAUCCAUAAUUUAUGGAUGAAGCAGUGGAAUAGAGGCAAGUGAGUAUGUCGUAAAUAGCCUGGACAUUAUCAAAAGCACUUGUCCUGAAAAUAAGCAAAAAGAACCGAGAGCGUCGUCGAUAAGUUUUUCUAUAUGAAUAUGACACUUAAACUUCUUAAUCUAUUAUACUUACGCCACUAAUGUUAUCAUGUUUCUAACUCAGUUUUUUUUUUUUUAAGCCAAUUCAGAGACGAUCAUGACGAAGCCGAGACCCUAUUAAGUACAUCUGCUUGCUGACUGAGCAAGCACGACCAAUAGUAUUACAUUGAUCAGAAGGUCGGAAUUUUUUAAAACAUUUCAAAUUUAUUAGAUCUUCUUUAUACUUAUGUAUUAUUUUGAGCUGGCUUUUGGACAAUCAUGCACGGAUGAUUCUCCUGUCAAUUUACGGGAGUCAUGGACGUAAAAUUGAACAGAUGGCAGUGCGAGCAUCCUGCGGUGUUUGAUUAUUGCGGACGAGCAGUAUUUUAUACGUUUCACGAUGCGUCGCUACAGCUCGAAUCAUGUCAUUUUGGAGCAUUAGUGAAGAGUGGCCUGAGAGAGCACAAAGUUUCUCCUAUUUGCAGACAUGGAGAGAUGAGAUUACAUGAUGGACGUUCGCAGUUAUUUAGGGAUCUCCCGUCGAUGCGGGGCUGCUGACUGGAGGGGAUCCUAUCAGUGGGCAGCAGCUCUGGUUACCUUCUGGGUGGAUUCGCAGGAUAUUAGGCCGCGGUGGCUGAGAUCAAAAGACUGUAUUAUUCAGUUCAGCGUUUUUCCAUGAUAUCCCCUUAACGCACCUCCCGCUAUUGUUAGAGCUACAACGAAUCGAGGCGUGAAAGUCAUAUACUAUUUCAGAUAGUGUUUAGUUUGUUUCCAUAAUCAAGCGGGAAUAGGGUGCAUUUGAAUAUGGCUGCCAAUCUGAGGAUUUUUUGACCUUUGGUGGGGUUGGCAUGGGUGCAGCCGCGCUAGCAUCUUUAUCGCGUCUCCUAGGAAUCUUCCUUAGGGAAAGGCUCGAGUGUUGUUGGUUUGGGACAUUACGUUCAUUAUACAAUUUGACGACACGACCCUACAAUACUUCUACUUAAGUCAUGGUUAUUCUUUCCAUUGUCUAACUAGAAUAUUUUUUAAUAGAUAUGGUAAUGGGACCACCUUGACAUAUGGCGUCCUGAGGGAGUAGCGACCACAGCCUGGCUUGUCGGACAUGCCUCUAGGGGUCGCUAAGUAAUUUUUCAUCUUAUUUUGUAUAUACUUUUAUUCUAUCAACUAAUAUUGAUAUAAAUGAAUCAGGGGCAUACCAGGCUGGUUUUCGGGACAAAUGUCAGGACUACUGACUUAGUUUUAUCGGAUCACUGGCACAGCCAGAUUAGAGUUCAGGUAAAUAAAAGUUACUCAAACUGUCGGAAUACAAUGUUGAGACCCAGAUAGCCUAUAUAUAGAAUAUAAUAGGCUAAACCUUAACUCGGUUAAGCAUUUUGGUGGUGCAAGCCAAGAGGUUAAGAGAGUUAAGCGAUGCUAGGACGGUAGCUCCUAGGAGGGGUGACCCCUGGAAGUUGGGGCGUUCAACAGAUAGGUAUCAGAAGCCAUUACACCGAAGUGAGUAUGGAGUCCGUUAAGCCAGGGUCUGGAUGACGGGCUAGCGAGAUGAGUCUCACAUCGCCUGGUACUUGUGAGUCUGAGCCUGACGAGGACGUCAAGGCUUAAAGGAGGGGAGAUAGUCCUAUAUAUGAGAUAUAAUAGGGCUAAACUCUUAACUCGGCUUAAGCAUUUUGGGUGGUGGCAAGGCCUAAGAGGUUAAGAGAGUUAAGCGUGCUAGGACGGGAGUAGUCCUAGGAUGGGUGACCCCCUGGGAAGUUGGGGCGUCACAUCAAUAUAGUUUAAUUUUUAUUCGAAACAUGAGUCACAAUAUAGUUUAAUUUUGAUAACUAAUCAUAUUUAUUUUUCACAAUAGAUUACAUGGAGGCCUUAUGACGACACUGUUUUAGAGACGCUCCCACCUUUUUGUCUGGCCGGGUUCUACGUUUGGCGAUCGAGGACUACCUUAGUUUGCUUCCACAUUAUUGAGCUCCAUCAUCCCGAUCGUGUGCUGUGACAGUUUGGGCUAUUACAGUAUAUACCUGAUGCAGUACUUGCCAUACAUCGCAUUAAUUCACGAGGUGGAGCAGAUGAGGAUUGGGCGGCAUACCAUGCGUCAUACAUUCAGCGUUGGAAUGAUAGAUUGAUAGAUAUAGCAGAGAUGGCCCUAGAGAUAGAUCCAGAUCCGAUACGAGCUACCGCUGUUUACAUGCAGUGGUAUUGGACGAUCACCAGGAGGUGGAUCUCUACACCUGUACAGCGGCCACCACUCGCGUAUCAGCCACGUGCGCACGUCGAGAGAGUAUUGGUAUGAUUGUAAUAUAUAAUAUCUUUUUAUAUUAAUUUUUAUAUAUACAAGAAAAUUUCGUAUAAUCUUUUUUUAUUGUGCUUUUAUUUCAGGUCGAUAUCGUGCAGAGAUCAUAUUAUACAAUCAGACGUGUCCUGCCCGAUAUUUUAGGAGGUGGAGUCUUAACUACCCCAUCACAGGUUGCAGAUCAGAUGGAAGACUUUACCUACGCUUCCACACUAUGUACCUCCAGGACCAGCAGACUAUGGUGGAGCAUCGACGUCCGGCCAUGCACCCAUAUAUAGUCCACCGAGGCCAUCAUCACCUAUUGAGGAGCCACCUUAUGCUGAUGUUACAGACCCGGCACCAGCACUCGGAUCCAGCUCGAGCAGGUGAUAUUGCUUAUUUUAGGCGUCGACGGCGAUCGAGGUCUAUCCGUACAGAUCAGCCCUCCUCUUCAGCUCCUCCACGGCCAGAUCAGCCCUCCUCUUCAGCUCCUCCACGGCCAGAUCAGCCCUCCUCUUCAGCUCCUCCACGGCCAGACAUACUACCGACACAUGCUACUGCUGUGAUUGAGCCGGUUAUUGAGGGUGCUGCUAUAGAGCAUCUAGACCAGUUGGAGAUCUUGGAGCCUUUUGAUGAGCAUGAUGUUGGUCGUGGUCGCGGACGUGGUAGGCGACGUGGUCGAGGGAGUCGAGGGAGGAGAACAUGAUAUUAUAUUUGUAUAUUAUUGUAUAACUUGCAUUUAUUUUGUAUAUUCUGUUUUGAUUAUUUGGUAUUGAUUAUAUUAUUGAUAUUCUAUUGGUUGUGAUGUUGUAAUGUGUAUUGAUUUUGUGAUGUUGUGAUGUUUAUUACUUUUGUGAUGUUGUGAUGUGUUGUGAUGUGUAUUGAUAGGUAUCUGUAUUGUAUUCUUGUAUUGAAUCUUGUAUUGAUUUUUGUGCGACAAAAUAUUUGCUCGGGCAGGCAGUUGUAUUGGACACAGUGAAUGGAUCACCGUGUCCAUUUGUAUUGGACACGGUGAAUGGUUCACCAUGUCCAAUACAAAUGUAUUGGACACGCCCCGAAAAUGGUUAAGUCCGUGUCCGAUACAACUAGUUAGGCCGUAUUUGGCCAAAUAUAGAAGUAAAGGACACGUGAAUGAUUCACCGUGUCUAAACACGGUGAACUGUUCACCGUGUUUAGACACGGUGAACGAAUCACCGUGUCUAAUGUAAUACUACCACCCCCGACGAUGUGUGAGUAAUGCAAUGAACACGAUGAUUGGUUCACCGUGUUUAGACACGGUGAACCAAUCACCGUGUUCAACUUAGACGCCUGACCCAGGCCCUGCUUGCGUGGCGCUGACGUGGCGCUAGCAUGGCAGGGCCAGGGCUAUUUUUGCAAAUAAUUUUUAUACAGGACUAUUUGCGUAAAUAAAAUUUUUCAGAAAACUAUUUGCAAAAAAAGCCCUUUUAAAAAUAAUUUUUUUCACGAGUCCAAUUGCAAAAAAAAUCCUAAUUUUAAGUUUGUCCCUUGACUAUAUCUUCUAAAACCAGGCGUAAUUUUGAGGGUCUCGAGGUUGUGUACUUUCUUCCUUAAUUUCUUCCGCUGUAAGACUGCUCUCUUGUCUCAUUGUCCGAAGCAGACUUCCGUACCUUGAUGUUAAAUUUUAUAAAAAAUUAAGAUUGUAGUUCUGUCGUUAUUUCAAUUUUUAUAUCCGGACUAUAGAUGACGAUUCUCUUUUGUUAUUCGUUCUCAUUCACGAUCUGCAAAGAAAAAAGAUGUUUCGAGUCUAAUUUUCUAAUCUCCAGUGAUAUAGUCGUCACAGAAAAUUAAGAUUAGAAUUAGACCGAAACUACCGUAUGUUACAUAUUUAUAGAUAACUUAAUGUAAGGAUGUUAAAUCACGUCAGCUUAUCAAAACGUGUCUAGAUACAUUCUAAUAGUUAAAUCUAUCGUAUUUUUUUAUAGAUCGACUCUAAUAGACCGACUUAUCUUUAUAGAUCGUCUUGAAUAAAUCAAAUGAGCCACAUCCAACACUUGAAACAUUUUAAAAAAUAAAAAUCUGUUCCUUGGAAGUUAGAAUUUAGGGCGUGUUUGGUUCGCUUCUUUUUUUCUCUGGAAUCGGAAUCAGAAUGGAUGAAUCCGUUUGUGGGUGUUUGGUACGCAGGAGUCCCAGUCCGAUUCCAAUUUCCGAGUGGAAUGGAAAUCCCCCAAUCACCCAAUUUUUCAAUCCGGCCUAGGAGGCCGGAUUGGAAGUUGAAUCCGGACGGAAUGAAUAUUUAUUCGGAUUAAAUUUAUUUUUUCAACUUUUUUAAUUAAAAUAUGAGUUAAAAUAUAAAAAUUAAAUAUAUAUUUUUAAAUUUUAAUUUGAACUUAAAUUAAAAAUUAAAAUUUAAUCAAGUAUUUCGAAUCUAAUUUAUUGAAUUUGAAUUUAAAUUAAAUUUUAAUUUAUAUAAAGUUUUAUUUAAAUUUUAUUUCAAACUUAAAUUAAAUUUAUGGAUUCAAAUUAAAAUUUAAAUUGUAAUGUUAAGUUUGUUUGAAUAAAUCAAAAUUUAGUUUCAUAUUUUGAAUUAUCCAUUCAACUUCAAAGUUUAAUUUUUUUAAAAAAAAUAGAUUUAAAAUUUUGACAUUAUUUCAAAAUUUUGAUGUAAAUUUUUAAUAUUUAAUUUUUAAUUUGAAUUUAAAUUAAUAUAUUAUAAAGAUAAUGUUAGUAUAUUAAUUUGAUUACGUUUUUUUAUAUCUACCUGAACCAAACACCGACAAUGAAAAUGAUUUAUUCCGAUUCCGAUUCCGAUUCCGAUUCAGGUGAUAAACAAAACAGAAUUAGGUAAUGAGUCAUUCCGAUUUCGAUUCCAGCUUAUUUUGAUUCCGAUUCCGAUUCCGAUUCCGACUCCGACUUCGACUUCGACUUCGAACCAAACACGCCCUUAGUUCUUUGGAUGUUAUGAAAUUGUGGUAAAAAUAUUCAUCUCACUAGACUACAGAUUUUUAUCACAGUUUCAUGGGCAUCAGAUUGGCCAAGGUAACGCCCUAUUUUAGUUUUCCGGAGUUCUAAAGCACAAAAGUACAUAUAUUUGAAAAACAUAUUGCCAACCUAAGCCUAUGAACAAGAGAGAAAAAAAAAUGCAACAACAUUAAAGCAUAAUUAAAACACGUAACGAGUUUUGAUUCUAAUAAGUUUCAAGUAUUCUAAAUCAUUUCUAGCUGCAUGAAUUUUUAAUUGGGACGCAUUAAUGUUAAUUUUGAAGAUAAAAAUAAAACCAAAAAUAAAAAAAAAAUACACUCUGAACUAUUCUUGAGUGGAGUCUAAUCCCGCUGCUAUUACCCAGAUAUAUAUUAAUUUUCUGUUUAUUUAAUAUAUCCUUAACCAAGUUGAUACAAGAAAGGGUAUACGACACUAUUUAGUUGGCAAAAUAGUCUUCUUUUUUUUUUAAUUCUCAUUUUUAUAUUUUUAUCAGGCUUUAUGCUUGAAGUGUAAUUUAAUAAGGAGGUGUAAGAUAUAGAUUUUAUUUUUGUAGUGCUCCUGGUGUUUAGCGGUCUGAGUGAUGUCAGCAUCUGAGGCUUGUCGACACGUCUGGUAAGUGUCGGGACAAGUCGAAAUCAUUUUGGCGUGAAACGGACGCAAAACGUACUCAGCGCAGCGCGAGAGUGGAGUUCUGACACUGAAAUCUACAAAGUGCAGGAUUUCAGUAUUGAGUACUGGUACCUGGGGAGAAGUACAGGUACCCCAGUGAGUUUGCAGAACUGGAUGCUCUGGGAUUUGCACGAGGCUGAUGUUGAGUACCGAUACCUGUUGUCAAGUACCGAUAUCGAGCUUGGGUAUCGGUACUGUAUCGGGCUAGUACCGAUACCUAGUGUGCGAGACUGCAGGUUGAGAAGCCGAGUAACCAGUAUUCAAGUAGGGUACCGGUACUCCAGCUGGAAAAUGAGUUGGUAAGGGGUAGUUUGGUUUUUUGAUGUGUCGUUCUUUCCUAUGUUAACCCACCCUGUAUAGAUAUGCGCAGGGUGUUUAGAGAGGAGAAUGCUGUUUCUUUUCCUCUCUCUCUCUAGCUGGUGGUAGCCGUGCGUCUGGAAGGUCGGGGGCUCGAGCUCAUUCGCAUUCGACGUUCCCCGGAGGACCGUUCGCGCGCGUGGGUGUCGCGAUGAGCCAUGGAGAUCGGGCAAACAAGUGGGUUCCCUUCUAUCGACUUCUAGCCGACGUUGGACGAGCGCUCGAGGUGGGUUGAUGUUUACCGAAAUCGUCGGAUUUCCUUCUAAGUCCUAGAAAGUGUCAGCAUGUAUGGUUUUCAUGUGUAGUAUCAUGUUAAUAGCUCGAAUUCAUCGAUUGGUAUAGUUGUGUGCAAUCUGAAUUUGGAGCCUCAUUGUUGGAAUAUUUAUUUACAUGUUGAACUUGGAAUUGACUUAGGAGAAAACUCGUUAAACCUACACCGUUAUAUUUUCAAAAAGUUACCAGAUUUAGUUUCAGGAGCUACUGUACUUUUGUAUCACCGCUGUUAGUGCGAGGUGGAUACCCAAAUUAGUAUAGGCUGAGAUUACGCUCGUGCUGAGAAGACAAGCUCAUGUUACAGUUGAGUGUAGGCUGUUUCGUACUGUCGGGUGCCGUCACGGUUGACGGUAGACCCAGAUUUCUGUAUCUUGCAUCAGAUUGUGCCAAGGGCACGUGAGCUUUGGUUGUUAGACCAGUUUAGACCCAUCUGCAUUGACUACAGCCUGUAAGAGUCUGAUUGAGCUCAGCAGAGACACGCUUGCAUACUCGGUUGGGUCGCGCCCACGAGUGUCGCUCAGGAGUCUGACUAUCUUGCUUUGCGUUGACGUCAUAGUAGUCCGGUUUGGACCUUGCUCUCCACCGGCCGCCCAUGGGGUGGUGUAUGGUGUAACUUAGACAGGCGGGGCGGGCGUAUCGCAGUCCCUUGUGAGAUUGGGUUAGUGUGAUACAUUUGUUUAUUUACAAAUAGAUUGUGUUGGUUAGCAAUAGUAUAGGGGCAUGUAGCUGUAGAGUUAUUUCCAACUUUCUUUACUAUCCUUGCACAUAUUUCUGUAGACUUAGUGGGUGGGCCGUUGAGGUCGGUGGCGAUACCCACUGAUGACUACUCUGUUUUGCAGUAGUUCUAGCUCAUACCCAGUUGUUGACCCCUUUUUGCAGAGUCUUCGUCUGCGGCUGCUGCUGUUGCUGAUUCCGACCGCGGGGAGGGAGUCGCGAGCUAGAUUCUUCCUAUCCUUGGUUGCUGUGCUAGCGGAGUACCCGUCAGAGAUAGUGGGUUUUGUUCAUGUACAUACUCUAUGUUCGGUUUACUCGCUUGAGCGAGGUGUUUGUGUUGGUUCGAAGCUUUGUAUGUACUACGAAUCUUAUGUUUUAUAUACACAUGUUUCUGUUUAGCAGCUCUAUACUUCUGGUUGUAGCUAUGAUGAGAUUACAGGUACAACUAUCGCUUCGUAUACAUCGAAAAUUUCUAUGUAUACGGUGGGUCUGAAGACGCCCGGAAAAACGUAAUAAUCUGGGGCGUGACAAUUUUGGAAUGUACAUGUAGCAGUGCUCGUAACUUAAACCCUAGACCUAUUGCUCGAGAGGAGGACACUUGUUGACGACAACAGACUAGACCUUUGAAUUAAAAUCUUAUAAAUUCUAAAUUGCUUAAAGCCCGAGAACUUUGACAUUAGAAUUGACGCAGCCGAAAAGCUACGUGAUACAGAUGAAGAAGCAUAACGAUGAGAUAGAAGAAUAAAGAAUCUCUCCCGAUAGAAAUCAUUAUUAUUAAACUCCAAAAUAACUCUCCUUCUACAAUAGGCCUCUGCCGUAUUCAUACUAAAUUUAAUAUAAAUUUAAGUGCUGCUCUAAAUCAAAUCUUAAGAUUUUUACUGUAACAUAUAGAACCCAAGCCAUACGAGCGAACUCUUGGUGAGGGGUAAUUGGUGAAGUCAUUUAGAAAAAUGAUUUCAUAAGAGUUAACAAAAAAGUGUAAUUGAGAAAAUAGACCCAAAAGUUAGAAUUUCGGUGAGAUCUUUUGAACUUUAGAGUAUUAAUGAUAAUGACGACUAAAUAUUAGAUUUAAAGUGUAUGAAGGCUAUGGAAAGGGAUUAGAAAGUAUUUGAGGUGAUUUGGUGAAAUUUUGAAAGAUAACAAAUGCGAUAGAGAAGAGUUGUGUUGGAAUUAGAGGACAGCGAAAACUUACAAACUAGAUAGCUAACAUAUGCAGGUAUCGAAAUCGAAUCAGGUUGCUUAUUUUACUAUUCUUUUUGAAUCGUUCUUGUCGUGAUGCAUCUGGAUCUUCCACGUAGCUUUUGAAUCUUCGACGUAACUUUUGGAUCUUCUAUGUAUCUCGCCUUCUCCUAUGCAUUGCGGAUCGGAUGCGAAGAUGGCUAUUAGAGUCCUCUUCUUUAUCCGUGCUCCAAAAAACCGAGAACUUUAGAGUAAAGCCCAAAGAGAACGUAGAGGGAAAGGAAGAAGAAAUUCCUGUUUUAUUCGAAUGUACAAAAUUCGAGAGAAAAUAGUAUUUAUAGAUUAUUAGAACCUUUAAAAUAUCCUGAUUCUAACAUAAAUAUUAGAAUUAGAAUAUUUAUAAUGAUAUAAUAGAUAUUCAUUAGGAAAUACACUUCUUAACUAAUAACAAAUAUACAAAUUUAUCCUUAUCCUUAUUUUAUUAGGGUAAAUCCUAAUUCACAUCUUAUGUGGAUCGGAUUGAAUUAGAACUAGCCAAUGUGGACACACCACAUAGCAACAAUCUCCCAAGACCCAAGUUCGAAUCCUAGUUGAUUCACAUUUCUAGCUAAGUUUAUUUCUAAAUGAAAUAAACAAAGCGGGUAGCGUGCUACCUAUCUCUCAAAAAAAAAGAAAACCAAUCUCCCACUUGGCCACAAUGGCCAAUUUUCUCUCAUAUUGUUACGCUCCGAGACCGCUACCAAUUUGGUCCGGCUCGGGCACAUCGAACAGACGCCAAACGGACAGCACUUCCCUCGUCCGCCCAAGGUUCAACAACAAAUCAAGUACAAUCAAGCGCUCAGGAAAAUGCUUAAUAUACAUACAUGAUCAUAUACGAAGCACCACAAGUGCUAACAAGUAAGAGCAAGAUACAAGUAUACGGUACAAGUGAAUAAAGAGAGAUAAUCUAGCUAUUACAACCAUUCAUCAUAAUUUCCUUUAAUUAUAUUUCCAUCUCCAAAAAUGUAAUACAAGUUCAUCUCCAAUAUACACAAAUAGCUCCCAAAAUACAUCAUAUAUCUCUAGCACAUGAGGGUACUCUAAUGCAAAAUAGGAAAGUUACUAUCUACUAUCUACUCUAGCGCACUAUGCCCUUGCCGCAAUCCUCGCCCGGCGAACUCGUACUCGGCCGUGCAACAAAGUGGGGUGAGAACUAUAUAAAUAUAGUUCCCAGUGGGUUCGACCGCCGACUCCGCCGAUCUUCCCACUAGGUCUAAGCAGGCAUAAGCAGAUAGAUAGAUAGAUAGAUAGAUAUGAGCUGCAACAAUAAUCUACCAUGCCUUCGAUGUCAAUCAAUGCAUGCAAUGUCCAUUUUGCAAUAACUCUACUAUUAUGCUAGUAUCAUGUUAUGAAGGUAAGUGUCACAUAGUCAUGUAAUCUGCUAACAUAUACUAUGUCUACUCAAGAUAUGAAUGCAAUUCUACUAUGCUAUUCAUGCUCUUUCUUUAAUCACUCGGCUAACCCGAAGGUUCGCCCCUACUCACUCUCAAUCUCAUAGGUGAGGAGAAGCUACACUCGCACACCGAGACCGUCUGCGGGACAACUACGUCUACCCCUAUGGUGAAGUACUCCAGAGACCACUACUUGAGUGGAGCGACCACCUCAAGUGUAAACAGAUUAGUGAGUAUGAUCCAAUCCCCACAAGAGGAUACCCUGUCUACAAAGGUCAUAGUGCCUUUACCGCACCGAUGCAAAUGCAUAAUCCAAUAACCGGGAACACUACUAUCCCUAGAUUCAUGUCACCAUAGACCACUACACUAGAUUCGAUGCCACUCGUUCAAUCAAUUGUAGUCAGUGUUCAACUAGUUUAGAUGCCACUCGUUCAAUCAUUCGUAGUGCUUCUACUACACUAGUUCGAUGUCCAUUAUCAACGUCUUCUCAAGUUCAUGUCAUCACUUAUCUUGCCAUUAUAGGUUCAUAUGUCAUAAGUCUAAUUCUCAUGUCCCUAGGUUCUUGUGUCAAGCUCUCCAUGCUACACUACUAUGGAACAUGCAAGGAAAUAGAAAUAUGCUAUACAACAUCCUAUAAUGCAUAAGUGCAACAUGAAUGUACAUGAUUAAUGUAUAUACUCAGACAUAAAAGAAAAUCCGGUUGCUUCGGGAUGGAUACCCCCCACCUUCUGGUGAUGUCAAGAGGUCUAGACUCCAGUUUUGUGAUUUUUGGUCGCUUCCUCGGCCUUCCAGGCGGAAACGAAGCCAAAAACACCUUUUUUCUCAAUUCCUUUGCGUAGCCUCGACGAAUCGUCGAACCGACUUCGCCAACGCGUCAAAGUACCUAGCAAUUUGGUUUAGACAUGCUCAAUUGAGAUCAAAACCCAUCAUGAGCAAAACCCCUCUUUAGAACCCUAGGUUUCUACUCAUGAGAAAUCUCAUGCUACAAUCUUGUGAUUCAAGCUCUAAUCACCUAUUUAGCAUGCUAGGAUUCCUCCAAAACCAUUUCGAGUCAAAGCUUCAAACCCUAGAGAGCUACCAUGAGAGGAUAUAGAAGCUUACCUCUACCAAGCUUCUACUCCAAGCUAAGGAAGAAGAUGGCAAUGGAGAUCCUCUCCUUGGUCUUCUUCUCCUUCCUCUUCUUCUCUUUCUUCUUCUUCUCCUUCUUUUUUUUCUAGAGAGAGAGAGAGGGAGAGUGUGAGUGUGUGUGUUGGAGGGAAAUGAGAGAAAGAGAGAGGGGGAAAUGCCCACUUAACCCCUCUCUUGCUACAAUAGCCAAAAACCCCCUCCAAUUUGCCUCUUGUGCACUGCCCAGACUGGGCAGAUUUCGGGUGCGGGGACCUGUCUCCCUAUGGAGGGACCGGUCCCCAAGAGCAGCCUCACGCGCAGAGUCCUCUGCCAGCCCCUUUACGCGCACGGGGUUCGGUCCUUUGCAGAGGGACUGGUCCCCGAGAGCACAGUUCUGCGCAGAGCCCUCUGCUCUGCCCUACACGUGUACGGGGACCGGUCCUCGCCCGAGGGACCGGUCCCCGAGAGCAGGAUUUCGCGCAGAAGGCCUUUUGCCAUUCCUACGCGUACGGGGUCCAGUCCCUGGCCGAGGGACCGGUCCCCAAGAGUACAAAAACUGUAGUUUGUAGAUUUUGCUCCAGCUUGUUCUCGUGACCCCUCCUCAAUGCACUUUUCGCAUUUGCAUAUUCGACAUCUUCGGCCUUUCCGAAGCGUACCAACACGACCCUUGGUCGAUUUUACACGAAGUUCAACUCUCGCAUUUCGAGAAUUCACUUCCUUACACAUACAUUCUACUCUUCAUACGGAUAAUGGAGCAUGCGACUUAACGAAAAAAUGCAAUGUAGGAGUGCUAUAUUAAGUUACCACUCAACUAACAUAGCACAUUACUAACUAAAUUCGUCUAUGCCCUAGACGUUUCAAUACACACCGGAUCAAGCAUCAUAAAUCCCUCUUCCGUAAUAAUAGGGCUCGACCCUAUAAUAAUUUUUCAUACUCAUGAUCAUCUCAAAUGGCACAACCGAGAUAACCACCCAAACAAUAAGUCAUAAGGUUUACGUGGUGUGUUAUUAGAACAUCUUGUUCAGUCCCUCAUGUUAAUCUAUCUCAAUUCAAACACUUGGUAUGUUCUAUGAGAUCGUAUUUUCUCAUGAUCCUGAGAUACAUGCUAAGUUAAUUACAUCGGACCUCUAUUUCAUAACAUAAUUCUAAGUCAAGAGAAUAAAAAGGUUAGUGCUUACAUAAUGAUAUAGAGGGCAGAACUUAUGUCACUACUAACUGGUUGAUAAGCACAUCUAUAUAUAAAUUGAAUCGAGAGUUUUACUGUGGCCGACGUGGCCGCUUCUCCGCGCUCGCGAGGAAGAGAGGAAGAGAGAAAGGGAGAGGAAGAGAGAGAGAGGGGGUCCUGCGCCGCGUUUGGGGGGGCCGGUCGAGAGAGAGAAAGAAAGAGAGAGAACAGAUGAAGGGAGAGAGAGAGAGAGAGACCAGACAUCCCCCCGCGUUUGGGGGGUUCCGGUCGCACGAGAGAGAGAGGGACAUGGAGAGAGAGAGAGAGAGAGAGAGAGAGAGAGAGAGAGAGAGAGCAGGGAUCCCCACACCCCCCCUCCGGCUCUCUCUCUCCCCCAUGUGCGCGGGACCCGCGCCAGGCGUGUGCGCGCGCCCCGCGCCAUGCACGCGACCCGCGCCCGGCGGAUGCGUGGGCCCCCCUCUCUCUUCCACUCUUUUCUUCUCCCUCUCCCCCUCUCCGGUUCUCUCCCUCUCUCUCCCUCCCCUACUCCCCCCCGCCACCCAUCUCCCCUCUUUUCCUCUCCCCCCCGGUCUCUCUCUCUCUCCUCCCCUCUCUCCUUUACCUGACCGCGAGCGCCGGCGCAGUGGCGAGCUCCGCCGCUAACGCGGGCGCGGGCCAAAGGCCUCCUUGCGGGCGCGGGGGGCGGACGCCGGCACGAGGCGGCAAACAGGGCGGGCGGGCACGGGCGCGGACAGGUAGCGCAAGAGUGCCGGGCUCGACGCCGCCGUGGGGAGGAGCGGCGCAGGCGCGGGCAGGGUGUGGCUCGGGGGUGUGGGGAGCGGGCGACGCGGGCGCGCGGGGCGGGGCGCGGCGCGGGCAUGCGGGGCGCGGGCAUGACGCGAGCACUGGGUGAGGGGAAGUGGAAAGAGGGACUGAGGGAGAGAGGGGAAGAGAGAGAGGAAGAGAGGCGCUGGGAGAAAGAGAAAGAGAGAGAAAGAGGGAGAGAGAGCAACAGAGAGAAAGAGAGACACAGGGGGAGAGAGAGAGAGAGAGGGAGGGAGAGAGAGAGAUUUUAAAAUUUUAAUUUUCGAAUUUUAUAUUUUUAUAUUUAAAUUUUAAAUUUAACUGUUAACAUUUAAUUAAUUAAAUUUAUUAAUAAUGUUAUAUAAUAUAUAAUUAAUUAAUUAAUUAAUAAUACAUAUAAUAAAUUGUGUUUUAAGUUUCAAAUUUUUUUAUCCUUCCAUAUUUAAAUAAUUUUUUAAUUUUUCUUUCUCUUUAACUUUUGAAUUUGGGAAUUUAAAAUUAAAUUUAGAAAUUAUAAAAUUAAAAAAAUUUGUUCAAAAUAUUUUAAAAUUUGUAUAAAUAUCCCGCUGCGAAGCGCGGGCCUUCACUCGUAUAGUAUGAUAUGUUUGUUAUGACGAAGCUCCCACCCAAUAGGUCGUAUCACGCUCUAAAAUAUCAUAUGAACCUUGUUCUAGCUACCACUAUAGUAUGUAACCACUAGACAAUUCAAGUCAUCUAUAUAACCCGAGUACGUAGGUUUUGCUGCUAUACAACUCGAUAUGGUAUUUUAUAGAAGAACUUUUACAUCCAACUUCUCAGUGUUCAUCUUAAUUAUUAUUAAUAACAGUGUUCGUUAUUACCAAACUAAUGUUUGGAACUUUUCGGACUUCACCGAGGUGGAAGUUCAAAGCUGUUUUCUUCGCGAGCAAUCCACCUCUAAGGAAGAUAGCUUGCAUCUUUCCUUUCUGCAUUGCUUCGCCAAUUUUCUUCUAACAAAAAUAAUUCUUCUUUAGGACGGUCAUCACACAACCGUCCAAAAUAUGGACCUUUUUCUUCCUCACCAUCAUUUUUGACGGGAUCUGUGUUGACUUGGGAUAUAUCAUUACUUGCCACAUGUUCGCCACCGCAUCACCUACUUCUCGCUCGCUUCCAUAUGACUCUUUGCUCACCGUUGUCCUAGAAUUUGUAAUUUCGAUCUUGAUAGAAUAAGGCCGAUGAAGCACCCCUCUCUCGUCAAUACGGACACUUUAAUUUCUUAAUCAUUGGAUUCAAGAAAAAUUGCUAUAGAAAUUGGAUAAGAAAGCAUGUGCCUGGUCAACCCGAAGAGCAUAGUGAUUGUCUGCCGCCACAAAAGGCCUGGCCUGCCGUAGGACUAUCUCCGAUAAGUGGUCAUUCAUGGUACAUACUAGAUUUGUUUAAGUUUAAUUUGGAAUCAGAUUUAUAGUUUCAUGGCUUUUAGUAGACUCAAGAAUCUGCUAUUAAUUAUCCCACACUUGCAGUGUUAAGGAACCCUCGAUUAAGAGGCCAAAUUUAAUACCGUUGAAGGGGUCCAUUUUAAAAUAGACCUACAGAUGAGAGUUCUUCAUACACUUUUAUUCACCAAUAAUUAGAUACAGAAAUAUCAUUUUAUCUCAUUAACAUUAACCGAAGCAAAUAGAGGAUGAUGGCAAGGAUAUUCAUGAGAAUUUAAAAAGUUUUUGAGAGUAUUAAUGAUAUUUCAAAGUUUUGACGGUUACCUAUGAUAUUUUUAAAGUCAUGAAAUUGCCCUCUUUUUUUAAUUAAACAAUUUAACUAAAAAACAAAAAAUAAAAAUUCCGUUGCCGGGACUCGAACCCGGGUCUUUCGGGUGAGAGCCGAAUAUCCUGACCAGCUAGACUACAACGGAUUGCUGGAAUUUCAUAAUAAUUGUCAUAUAUUUAUACCUGAUAAUUUACUGCUUGUAUUUAAAUUUAUACUUUAAAAAUUUAGAUUUAAUAUGUUUUAAAAUAUUAUAAAGAUAAAUAAUUGUUUCGGGUUCAGAUUCCGCAUUUUUGGUUGGAUUCGGAUUUGGAUAUGUACAUUUUUGUAAAAUCCGUCGUAUUCGAAUUCAGAUUCGGGUUUCAGGUUUGAUAGUGAGAUUCGGAGUUUUAAAAAUCUGCCCUAAAUCCGACCUCUUGACAUCCCUAGAUAAAAAGUAGGAUAAUAUUAGAAUACCUCCAGCAGCACCUAAUACUCAAUUCUUUUAUGUAAUACCAAGCUCUUCUUCCGUGAGAAUAGCAUCUCUUGAAUAUCAACAUGUCAACACAUAAAUAACAACUUUUCCAGUUCAAUUUUCAGUUCGGCCUUCGAGAUCAGUUAUGUUCAAGCCUUUCAAACAAA
RNAcentral lists this long non-coding RNA (51736 nucleotides) under Ananas comosus (pineapple). RNAcentral's name for it is "long non-coding RNA (ACOM_LNC022108)". The record is from RNAcentral. Lineage: Eukaryota; Viridiplantae; Streptophyta; Magnoliopsida; Poales; Bromeliaceae.